Molecule: long non-coding RNA, 73858 nt
Filed under: Medicago truncatula (barrel medic)
Lineage: Eukaryota; Viridiplantae; Streptophyta; Magnoliopsida; Fabales; Fabaceae
Description: long non-coding RNA (MTRU_LNC005985)
Rfam family: MIR5269 microRNA precursor family (bases 5296-5374)
Source: RNAcentral
UUUUGUUUUUGUCCGUUUAUUUAAUUUAUUUAACAAACAAAAUUUUAAAAAUGUAGAAAGUUGUUUUCGAACUUACAACUUCUCAUUAAGGGCAAACAAACACAACAACCAUAACAAUAUAUAUCGGUAAUAACCUCUUCAACAUCAUUUCUCAAAAAUAAAAACCUCUUCAACAUCAUAACAAUAUAUAGAUUUAGGAUUUAAAUUUGAGGGUGGUGACCACAACAGGACUCCUAACCACAUGACUCACAUCCAUCCAAGUUAGAUAUCCGAAAUCCAAUUUCUUUAAUCUUGUCAUGCUUCCAACUUCAUUCCUCAACUUAAAUCUUAGCUUCUCAUUCUUCUCAUGGAACACCAACUUGUUUGGGAUAACACUGACAUGAAACCCUUUGAUAGGAGUAAUGUUGGCAACAUAAACUGUUUAUGCCUCACCAACAUUGGUCACUGUUUUGUGGAACUCUUGUAUUCUCCUCCAAGAAGAAUUUCCACCAUUGAAGAAAGCAAUAAAAAAAGGGUGGUUAAUAUCCAAUGAAGGUUUAGAGCAAUCAUUGAAUGUGGAUCUUGUAAUGGUAGUGAUAUGUUUCUGUGUGAAGUUAAGUCCAUAGAGAAGAUUAACAUAAUCUUGUGCACCAACGUCAUAAAGAAGACCGGGGUCAAGCGCUCUAGUAGUAUCAACAUAACUAGCUCCUAAUGCAAGAGGAGUUGCAACUUUGUUACCUUCUCCGAUGUCUUUGAUAUGUUCCUUAGCAUUAUCAAAUAUGGUUGAUGUUGUCAUAAUUGCUGACCUUAUAGCUGCAGGGUCCAAUCAGCAUGUGCUCCUUUCAAAAGUGCUCCAACACCAGCAACAUGAGGGCAUGUCAUAAACGUUCCACGCAAUGUUGUCAAAAUCGCGAUCUAGAUCCCAAGAUCGUACGAUCUUGCGAGUCAUGAUGCCUCCACCGAUCUGGAGCGGAUCCAAGAUCAGAGAAGAUGAAGGAGCGGCCGGCGCGCCGCGUAAACACGUUGAAUCGGCGAUUUUUUUCGCGUCUGGGAAAGUGGCUGAUUCGGGUGCGACCCGUCUGACCCGACCUGUUCGGAUUUGACCCGAUUUUUUUAAAUACGAGCCCAACCCCAUUCUGGCCGGGAACGACCCGUUUUCCACUCUAAAAGGCCAAAUUCACUCAUUAAUUUCAGUUUUGGGACUUGUUAGUGUUUAAUUCAAUAAUUAGGUUAGUAAAUUGGGAAUUUCUUUAAAAUUUUGAAUUUUUUUCAUCUUUUGUGAAAUUGUAAUUCUUCAAUUAUCAUCAAUUCCCUUUCAUCUUUUAUAAAUUUCUCUUGCUUGUGCUUCCUCUUGAAUAAGUUUUUUAUUUUUUAUUUUUAUGAUGUUUAGGAUGAUGCUUUGUUUUGUAUCAAUGUUUUUAGAUGUUUAAGAUAAUGAGAAUUAUGAUUAAUAUAAGUUUUUUUUAAAGGUUAUUUUUCUUAGUUUUUUUUAUAAUUCUGUCUAUUAUAUGGGAUCUUACGAUCCCUGUUACGAUCCUACGAUCUACGCUUUUUCUAUACCUCAACGAUCUCUAGUGGGAUCUCGAUUUUGAUAACCUUGGUUCCACGUAAAACAUUAAACUAAGUAAGGAAAUACUUGUUGGAGAAUUUCCAAAAUAGGUCUCCUAACCACAUGUUUUACAUAUAUCAAGUUAUAGAUAUUGAAAAGUCACCUUUAAUUUUGUUUUUCUUCCAACUUCAAUCAUUAACUUGAUGCUUACUUUUUCGUUCUUCUCAUGGAACACCAACUUGUUUGGAAUAACACAUACAUGAAUACCUUUAAUAGGUAUAAUGUUGGUAACAUAAAUCAUUUGUAUAAUAAUGAGGUUUUGGUGUGAAGUUAAGUGCACAAAGAAGAUUAAGAUAAUGUCUUACACCAACAUCAUAAACAAGACUAAGGUCAGAGCUCUACAAGGAUCAACACAACCUCCCAAUGCAAGUGGGGUUCCAACUUUGUUACCUCUUCCAAUGUAUUUGAUACAAUUCUUAGUAUUAUUAAAUAUGUUUAAUGUUGUCAUAAUUGUUGAACUUAUCGUUAAGGGUUUUAAUCGGGAUCAUUAAUGUAUGAGAUAUUUGAUAUGAAAACACCUCCAAUAACAUUUUAUUGAGAAAUAUUAUAAACUUGAUUAAUUAGAUUUCCAUGCUUAUCUUCACAAAUCACAAUUUUUCUAUUCACAUUGUUUAAUUCUUUAACAUUGUCACACAUACUCAUGAAAACAAUUGAAAAAUCGUUAGCAGAUAAAUUUUCUAAAUAGGCAGACAAACUAACGAGUGAUAAUUCAUUACCAAGUGUAAGCAUCACACAAAAUUCACGAUCCAAAGUACCAGUAACAAUAAUUUAGAUCCAUGAUGUUCCAUUAAUGAGAGUUUUAAAGCACUGACCCACAUUACCUGCUGCUACAAAAGUGGCUAUUGCAAUUGGAUCUUUAUACAAAGAUACAACACCUAAGUUUACUGAUAUCGAAAAGAACAUUAACACCGUCUAAUAUUACGAUAUCAAUUGUAGCUGUUACAUUAGAUAAAAAUACAUUUAUAGGUUUUUCCCAUCUAAUCUUGUACAUAGCUACUCUAGACAAUGUAAUUAUUUCUUUUGUAGUUCGAUUUACAUAACCAAAGAAAAAUGCACCAUCAACUUGAUUUCAAGUUGUUGUUAAUGAAGUGUGGGUCUCUUAAUCAUAUGUAUGACAUGUAGUAUUCACAAUUGUUGUAUUAAUGAUUGCUCUCAAGAAAAAAAAAUUGUUGUAUUAAUGAUAAAAAAAAUUCCAAGAACAAUUUGUUUAAGAUGCUAGCUCCAAUGAUUUUUUUUUUUUUGCAAAAAUAUAAAUCAUUGGUAUUUUUAAAUUCACCUUCCAAUUUUGAAGAAAUUAUAACCAUCCCAUUAUUACUUAAACUUUCACUUUCUUGUCAAACUAAAAAGUCAACCACAAAAAAUUGGAAGGCCGAUUUUUAGCUAGAUUUAUUUUAAUUACGUUUAUUAUGUGUUAUAUGUGCUCGUGUGUGAUUAUUCAUCAUUGGGUGUAUUUUCAUGGGUUUCCGUGUUAGAAGGGUAUUUUAGUCAUUUUGGACUUUUGUUAUGUUUGGAGAUUACCCUUAUGUUGGGAUUUUUGAGAUGCAUCUAUGUUGAUGUAAUUAUUGAUUCAUGACAUGUAUAUUUGGAUUACUCUGGUUUAUAUUCUGCUACUGUUGAGGUUUAUAUACAUGCUUAUUGGUUUUGAAUUUUGGAUGAUGGCGUAGCCUCUAUUUCUUGAAUAAAUGUAUUAUUCGCAUGUUUAAUUGCUUUAAUAGAAAUAGGAGUGUUACAAGUUGGUAUCAGAGUCAUGGUCAGUUGUGUCUAGACUAAUACUUGUUGUAUUUCCCUGUUGUGUGCGAAUGGUAGCAUAGUACCUUCGACAUUUGCUUUGUUGUGUUGUUUUCUUAUCAGUGAGUUGGUUGUGUAGUGCUGAGAUGGCAGGUGGUAGAGACGAUGCGGCAAUUGCACAAGCUUUAGCGACUAUGGCACAAGUGUUGGCCCAGUCGAAUGAGAAUGCGGUGGCUAACCGUAGAAAUGAAGGUGAGGCCGAAGAGAGGAGGCUCGAUAGGUUCUUGAGGAACAAUCCACCGACUUUCAAAGGGAGGUUCGAUCCAAAGGGAGUACAGACUUGGGUGCAGGGUAUGGAACAGAUUUUCCGCUGCUAAUGUUGAGGUUUAUAUACAUGCUUAUUGGUUUUGAAUUUUGGAUGAUGACGUAGCCUUUAUUUCUUGAAUAAAUGUAUUAUUCGCAUGUUUAAUUGCUUUAAUAGAAAUAGGAGUGUUACAAGUUGGUAUCUUGACCAAACUCAAAGUUGACCAUGCUUCAUUAAAUGGAUUAAGACCAAGGAAUUAUGGUGAACACGGUUUUAAUAUGCAAAUAUGGUUACAAAUAUUGCGGUUGUAGCUAAUCUGUUACUAUGAUUUCAAUUGAGGACAUUGCUUCGUGUAAAACAAUUAUAUUUGCACCAAACAAAAAAAGUUUUACAACUGUUAUAAUUUUUAUACAUAUUUUAUUUAUAAAUUUGAAUAUAUUUUAAGACCUUUUAUCAAAUUUAUAAAUAUUUUAGAUUUGACAUAAUUAACCAAAUUUAAUCUAACACUUCCCCGUCCCACCUCUAUUUAGUAAUUUUUUAACCCAAAAUUUCAAUUUCCUCAGAUCAAUUUUUCAUUUUCCUCUAUACACAAAUUUACAUAGGCACGCAUGCUAAUGCGCACGCUCACACACACUCCCACUUUCCUUUAGUUUUUUGCCACAAUUUUUUCAUUUCCCUCUUCCAUUUCAUUUCCUCCACUCCUCACACAAAAACAUCAUCUCUUGAUUAUUGACUAGAACAUUUUGUUUUUGUCCGUCAAUUCAAUUUAUUUAACAAACAAAUUUUAAAAAUUAUAGAAAGUUGUUUUCAAACCUACAACAUCCUGUUAAGGGUAAACAAACAAACACAACAACAAAGUUCUCCAUCAACUUGUUAUAUUUUAUGAAUCUUACUAUUUAUAACUACUUGAACAAAUGUAACUUUCCAAACAUUUAUUUUCGAAAUUCUCCAUCAAGUAUUUCCUUAGUUAGUUUACAUUUUUCACUUAAUUCAUAUGCUAAUAACCUCUUUAUCGUCAUAACAAUAUAUAAAUGUAGGGUUUCAAUUUAAGGGUGUUGGCUACGAUAGGCCUCUUAACCACAUGUUUCACAUCUAUCCAAGCUAUAGAUACAUAAAAGUGACCUUUAAUUUUGUCAUUCUUCCAGCUCCAAUCAUUAACUUGAAUAUUACCUUCUCUUCCUUCUCAUGGAAUACCUAUUUGUUUGGGGUAACAUUGACAUCGAACCUUUUUAUAGGUAUAGGGUUAGCAACAUAAAUCAUUUGUUUCUCGCCAACAUUGGUAUCUGUUAUGCGAAGUUCUUGUAUUGUCUUCGAAGAAGAACUUUCAACAUUGAAGAAAACAAUAAAAGAAUAGUAGUUAUGAUCAAAUGAAGAUUUCGAAAAAUUAUAGGAAGAUGAUCUUGUAAUGAUACUGGUGUUUUUUCUUGUGAAGUUAAGAGCUAAAGAAGAUAAAAAUAAUCUAUUACACCAACAUAUAAAACAUGACUAGGGUCAAGUGCUUUAUUGGAGCUACAACUUUCUUAUUUUUUAACAAUGUCUUUUAUCAAUCCUUUCUAAUAUUAAAUAUUUUAAAUAUUAUCAUUAUUGUUGACCUUAUAGCUGUCGGGCUCUAAUCAACAUAGAGUAACGUUAGCAACACUCUCUUUGAACACUCUCUUAAAUACUCAUUAUCUUAUUGGUUUAAAUCAUUGUGGGUUUACACUUUGAAAAUUGAACUCACACAAAGUGGUGGGACAUGCAUUGAUUUCAUCCAAUAAAAAAAUGAGUGCUAGAGAGAGUGUUGAAAAGUAAAUGUUACUAGCAUUUCUCAUCAACAUGUGCUCCUUUGAAACUUAAGUGUAAAACAGAUAAUCACUCAUUGUUUCUCAAUUUUGAUAAGAGAAUUUUUAUCAACAUCUAAAUAAUUAAUAAAUUAAUUUCUAUUAACAAAUAAAGAUUAAGUUACAUAUAGUUUGAUGGAGAUAUAUUGUUAGUCUAAAACAUUUUGUUUACCAUUUUGGGUUUGGGGAUUCUAAUUUUGAAAUAAAAUCAUGGUGCAUUCAUAUUAGUGUUAGACUGAUAAUUGUUACAUGAUGAAUAUGCAAAUUACACGUUUGAUGUUUUGAUUAAUAUGUUAUAUAAUUUGUUGUUAUGUGUACAAGACUUUUAGAAUAGGUUUAUGGGUCAUACAAGACUUGAAGAUGCAACAAAUUCAUAUAGUAUAGUGAGCUAAGACAUAAAGUAAAAUUAUGCGACCUGUAAUUGCUACCAAUAUCAUUUGAGAGUGAAACUUCUACCAUUAUAAAGUAGACAAAAUUAUUUACAUAAUAGAUACAAUAAAUGUUGCAUUACCUUAAGUUUGGUAGGAGUAAUCCAUGUUGCAAUUUGGGUAAGAGUUUCUACCAUAUUUCUGUAUCUAUGCAUGUUCUUUAGUUAAAACGAACUAAUUGUAUACUUAAACCCAAAAAUAAAAAUUAUAAUUAUAAUUUAGACAUUUUAAAUUUUAUGGGAAUUUUUUUUCUUCUCAAAUCAGAUGUUGUUUGGUAUUUUAAUUAGUUACUUGAAAGAGUAGUGCUAACAACACUAUCUCAAACACUCACUUUUUUAUUGGUUUAAAUCAAGGUGAAUCUCACACUUUGGAAAUGAGUUCCACUUAAAGUGGUGGGACACACAUUAAUUUCAUCCCAUAAGAGAGUGAGUGUUAGAAAAAAUGUUUAAAAGAGGGCGUUCCUAGCAUUCCUCUAGUUGAAAUUGAGGUUAAAGUACCGAAGAAUAGAAUUUUGGAUUUGAAUCGAUUCAAGUACCCCAAAUUGAGAAAGAAAAAAACUAAUUUUAUGAAUAUAAUCCUUUCCUUAAACCUUAGUUAUGUAUCUUGGAGUAUGUCACAACCCUAGGAUUUCAUUUCUUUUUAUAAGACUAAAUUGAAAUAACGUGAAAGUAAAUGUUUUAUCUAAAUUAGUAUAAUUUAGAGGGUAUCAAUAAAUCAAUAAGUAUUUAUCUAAAUUUUAAUAUAUUAAUUAUAAUUUAUUAUAAAAAUCAUACGCGGGACAAAUGUAUAUCAAAAAUAGGGUUGAUAUUCAAUUUGGUCUCUAAAAAUGUAAGACGGUAUGUUCAUAUCAAUCAAGUCCUCCAUAUUAUAAAUAUUUUAAAAUUCUCUUUAAAAUUAGUAUAAUUUCAGGUGCCAAAUUAAAUAUCAUACUUUAAAUAAAAAUUUCUCUAUUUCUUAAAUAUGACAUUCUUGAUUUAAAAUGUUCAUAGUUAAAGACAAGGAUAAAUUUGGUAAAAAAAUAUAUUAUUAAGAUGAAAGAAUUGUUUAUGAAUUUGCAAGUUAGGUUGCCUUAAUAUAUUCUUAUGAGAAAAGGGGCUUUGUUAUGCAUAGAAAACUAGUUUUACACUUGAGAAUCAAUAAUAUUAUAGUUAUUUUUAUGUGACAAUAUAUAUGAUAAAUUUUCAUUAGGGUUCUGUUUGGUUCAACGAAGAUAAAAAAAAAAGUAUAAUUGUAUUUUUCAUAAUUGUAUUACUUCCUCCGUUCCUUUUUAAGUGUCACUUUUGGAGAAAAAUUUAGUUCCUAUUUAACUGUCACUUUCAAAGUUCAAUGCAACAUUAAAUGUUGUUUUACCAAUAUUGUCCUUAGUUAUUUAUUGCGGAGAGAGAAAUAUAUGAAAUGAGAUAUUAAAUGAAUAAGGUCAUUAUGGUAAAAGUAUAACUUAUUGCAUCAAAAGUAAUAUCAAUUGUUGAUUGUCUUGGUUUAUGUAAAAUGUUAAAAUAUGACAAUUAAAAAGGAAUGAAGGUAGUAUUUAGUAAGACAACACUAGAGUUUAGCCUCUAGUUCAAUGUGGUUGCUUAACAUUUUAAGGUAGGUAUUUGAUCAUGGAGCCAUACUAUUUGAACACAACAUGUAGAGACAUUGUACACAACAACAACACAAAACACGAAAGUCAAAUGCAUGGGAAAAAGUAUUUAAAAAGAAAGGCUAAAAUUGUAUCUCAACCGUAUAUUAUACAAUGUUGAGUGUCCAAUCUUGUGUUCCCCUAGUAUUUUUCAUUGAUUGUGUAGUGAAUGAUCUCUUACCCUAGAAAUUAAGUCCCUCUUUUAGUGUCUCCUCUAAGAUUUUCUCCGCUCCUGGGCUCUCCCAUUAUUAUCAUGCCCAGAUUCAUAGGAGACAUGAGUUUCAAGGUAUAUUAUAUCCUUAGGUGGCAAAAAUUGGAUAUGAUACAAACCGUUCUACAUGACGAGUGGAGAAUGGUGUGUGAUGACCGACUUACCCUUCAGAAGCUAUGUGAGUCUUAGGUUGGCCAUCCAAUCUAAGGACCAAUUGUUGGAUUGGACACCCUCUCCAUUGCAUAAGUUCCUUUGUCUCUACAACUUGGUCAUCUCAUAGUAUCUUAUUGAUCCCCUCCCUUUUCCUUCCUUCAUAAUAAUUGAAUCAAUCAAACUACUUAUAUUUAAAAUAAUAUUUCCCAUCCCCACCAAACACAAUCUCCAAUUUGCACUAGUGCAUUUUCUUUAAACUCUAUACAAAUUUGGAGUUAGACCCCCCGUUCAUUGGUCUCUAUUGUAUUUUAACACUAUCGCUAGAUUGAUUUAAUGGUUGAAAAACAAAACGUAAAAAAAAAUCGUAAAACCAAAAACAAAAUAAAUGAUGUUUGAUAACAUAAUUUUUUUUAUUUAUUAGAUUAAUUUUAAGAAAACAAUGAAGAUUGAUUCAAUUGAUAAAGAGAUGAGUUAAUGAAAGGUGGUGGGUUCAAUUCUCACUUUCAAUGUAAGAACUUUUUGUUUUUUUAGGACGUCAAUGUGAGAACAUUCUGAUAGAUAAUCUAUAACUACGCUUGGAUCUCUAAACUUUAUGUAACCAAAAAAAAUUAAUUUUAAGAAUAAUAAAACAAAACAAUUAUUCCCUAAAAAAAACAAUUAUAUCAAUCUAACGGCUCAGGUUGGUGCAGUAUCAAGUGUAGUAGGGACCACUGAAGUAAGGGCAAUGUAGUCAAUAAACAUAUAACAGAAAAAAACACGGGAAAUUUUGUAACUAACAUUUGGAAAUUUUCAACAGCUUCUUCUUCUUCUUCAUUUGGUGAUUCAAUCUGAAAAGCUUCGUGUGAGAGACAAUGGAGAAUCUCAUACAAUUGGUGAACAAAAUACAGAGAGCUUGCACCGCACUCGGCGAUCACGGCGAGGAGAGCGCUUUGCCUACUCUUUGGGACGCUCUUCCCUCCAUUGCCGUCGUUGGAGGACAGGUGUUACUCUCGAUCUAAAAGUUUUUACGGUGUAGAAUGAAUGAUUCUUGUUAUGCACUGAUACUUCUGAUAGAAAGCAUGUCUUAUGUCCGACAUGUCCAACAUGUGGUAUCUACACUUAUGAUUACGUCUAAUUAAUUAUUAUUAUUUUCAAAUUUUUAAGUUUAUGUGUGAGUGUCAUGUCUGGUGUGUGUCAAUUUUUCAUUUUCAAAUUUUAAUUUAUGUGACCGUUCUUUUAGUGUAAUAUUUUCUUUUGAUUUCACUAUUUCUAUUUUAGAAUUGAAAUUGAAAUUCUCGGAAGUUGUUUUUCUUCAUUAUUGUUAAUUAGGAGUGUAUUGGUUUGUAAAAUGUUACAAUGCAAUGUUCUUUUGUUAUUUGUUUUACCUAAUGAUCCCGAUCACAAUGGUACUUCUAAUUUACGUGAGUUGUUCUGCUAGACCGUUUGAGAGAACUUAUGAAAAUAGUUUAUGGCAUUGUUCAUAAGUAGUUUUCAGCUUAUUUUCAUAAGUUCUCCAAGAUAGAUUAUGAAAACAACUUAUAACUUAUAGGAAAAAUAAAACUUUAUUUUAUCUUUUGUUAUAGAAAUAGCUCAAACAUAAGCGUGUAUCAUGAUAAGUGCUUGUGCUAUAAGCUACAAAUAAGUUGUUUAUCCAAUCAUGUAAAAUCUAUUUGUAUUCGGAUUUUAUAUACUGGGUGCUUUGUCUAUUUAUCAUUUGUUUUCUUACUAUGUAGCACCGACACUACACAUUGCAAAAGCGUCCUUGUCUAUGUAUGACAAGUGGUUACAUUCAUUUGUUCUAUUUUCUCAAAUUAUUGUCGGUAUCAAUGUUGUGUUUUUGUCCGUGUCAAUGCUUCAUAGGUAUUUUAUCAUAUAAUUUUAACAACAUGAAUAAAUACUGAGAUGAAUAAACAGUGAGAUGAAUCAACUUCUUUUGAGUUUAACAAAUACAUUUCCAGCGUAAACAAUACUUAAAUGUAUAUUUAAUCAUAUAUUAUAUCAUAUAGUCACAACAUAACAUAUUUGUGGAAAUUAUAUUAUAAUGUGGUAAGAUGAUGAAAUCUGAUUAAAUGUCUCACUAAAACUAAAACACUACAAUAUUUUUCCACAUUAGUGUUUCCUUUUUAUCUUCAUGUUUCAAAUGAACAUAUUCAAGUAGAUUUAUCCGUUAAUUUUAAUUUUGCAGAGUUCUGGAAAAUCUUCAGUGUUGGAGAGUAUUGUUGGAAAGGAUUUCUUACCUCGUGGAUCCGGUAAUUUAAUUUGCUAAUUGAUGUAUAUAUACGUGUAUGUGUUUACUUAGUCAUGUACUGUACAGCUUUAUGGUUUGCUUCUCCUCUUUCUCGCUCUCCAUGAUACGAGUUUUGGAUAACUUAACCCCGUUUCUGUAUGCAGGGAUUGUUACUCGACGUCCUCUUGUUUUGCAGCUUCACAAGAUUGAUGAAGGGAGAGAAUAUGCUGAAUUUAUGCAUGCUCCAAGGAAAAGAUUUACUGAUUUUGGUAUUCUCAUACAUAAAAGAUUUCCUUUCACUCACUUUAUGGUUUUACUUACAUUACACUUAAUACCUUUAAGGUAUAGCGAAAACUAACUAGUAACUUCAUCCAUUUUUGGUUAAAACAAAUGUUGCGUACCGGAAAUGUUAUUAUAUUUGCAUUUUCUUUAAUAUUCUUUACUGCUAUUGUUUCUCCGGUAGCUACUAAUUUCGCCUGUUUUGUAGCUGCUGUUAGGCAGGAGAUCUCUGAUGAGACUGAUAGAGAAACAGGUCGCUCCAAGGGUAUUUCAUCCGUUCCCAUCCAUCUGAGUAUCUACUCCCCUCACGGUGAGCUACAUUCAGCUUAUUAGUACUUGGUAUUUUGUUUUUUUUUUUAAAGGAAUAAAUGUUAUUGUUUGAGUCUCAAUUUUAUGCAUUGAAUUUGUUGCUUGGCAGUUGUGAAUUUGACAUUGGUUGAUCUUCCUGGACUUACAAAAGUCGCAGUUGGUGAGUUUUUUCAUUCUAAUAUUGUCAUUUACUUUGUUGGUUAAAUUUCUAAGAACCACCACAUUAUAAAUAUGGGGUUAAAUUUCUGCAAUUGCCUGGAAAUUGCAGAGGGUCAAGCAGAGAGCAUUGUGCAAGACAUUGAAAAUAUGGUUCGGGCCUUUAUCGAAAAGGUAAUGAUUCUAUAUAAAACUAAAUGAUUUCUGAUGCAUAUGAGAACAUUUAUUUGUUAUGAGGUGAAAAAUGUUAAAGGCAAUAAUUAAAGACUUGUAUUAAAAGCUCAGCUUUAUGCUCACAAAACUUCAUAUUCAAUUUAAGCCAUUCAUGAACGUACCGUAACUUAUUCCUUAUUGCAGCCGAAUUGCAUCAUUUUGGCAAUAUCUCCUGCUAAUCAAGACAUUGCCACCUCAGAUGCAAUUAAGAUUUCCCGUGAAGUAGAUCCUAAAGGUGAGAAUAAGCUGUUGGCCAUAAUUUUGUUUAUAAAGUAAUUGUUUGGAGGAAUGUGUUAUCUGAAGUUAACUGUAUUAAUUUCAUAAAAUAGCUAAAGCUGAAACUAUAGAUGUUUAAAAUAAAAGCAUAGCUUCAUAACUUUUACUGCACAGCAAAUCACAUUGUUAUCAUGUCUCUUGUGUCGGGAAACUUGGAUCAUAUUCGUAUAAAAUAUCAGAUAUAAGUUUGCUUGAUAAUAUAAUUGUUGGCAUUAAAAGAGGUAAAUUUAGCUUGGUUGAACACCAAAUUAUGUGACAAAGAUUCUAUGUAGUUAUAGUUCUAAAAUAUAUAUUGUAUUAAAUUACAUGCUUAUACAAUUUUUGGCAUGAUUUGGAUGGGGUGUUAUAAAAUAUAACAAGGUCGUCAAAUACACAGACUAGUAGAUGAAAUUUGAGAGAUACAGUUGGCGAGGUUGGUUAUAUGGAUCAAAUGAUACCAUAAUAUUCUAUCAUGUUUAAAUGGGUUUUCAUUAGGAAUAGUUCAUGAUUGUACAUUAUAACUUCAUUUAAUCUAAUAUCUAUGUAACUGAUCGGAUAUAAGCUGACAACUUAAAUUAUUAUUACAAGCAAUUGAUCGGAUAAUGCCUGGAUAAAGAUCAGUUUGUGAAUAUUGUUUGACUUUUUUUCUUCAGGAGAUAGGACAUUUGGAGUUUUGACAAAGAUUGAUCUUAUGGACAAGGGCACUGAUGCAGUGGAUGUAAGCAUUAUGUCCCCUCUCAAUACAAAAAUUGUGGGCUACACUGAAAAGUUUGCCUCAGGAAUUAUUUUUUCCCUUGAAUUGACGUUCCUUUGAUACUACCAUUAGUGGUGUGGACAUGUCUGUGUCGUAUAUGGUGUGUCUGUGUUAGACUCUAUGCUUCGUAGAGUAUAACUAUUAAGUAAACAGUAAGAUAUAGGUAGACAAGUAGGAAACUGUCAAAUAGGUAACAUCAUUUGGUGAUUGAAAGAACUUUUGUUUUCCUUCUGUUGGAUACUUUGAUAUCUACACACUGUGGAAUGGAAUAUACGGGGAUAAAAUAUCUUUCACUUCUUUGGAUGCUGUUAUGUUUUGGCCUAUAUUUUGCCUUUACAUGUUUCUACAAUUGAGAUAGAACUUACGAAUCACACAAACUUUGGAAUUCAGAUUUCGGCAUCUAGUUAAAUCACUGGUCAAAUCUGUCAAAUUUAUAAACUGACUUCCUCGAAUUUCCUUUUCUAGAUCCUUGAAGGGAAGUCAUUUAAGCUAAAUUUUCCUUGGAUUGGUGUUGUUAAUCGCUCCCAAGCUGAUAUUAACAAAAAUGUUGACAUGAUUGCUGCUCGGCGUAGAGAAAAUGAGUAUUUUGCUAAUACCCCAGAAUAUAGACAUCUAGCUCCGAGAAUGGGCUCUGUGCAUCUAGGAAAGGUUCUAUCUAAGGUAUGUCGAUUUGUGAUCAUAAAGUAAUACUUAAAACUCAAUCGACAUUUCCCGAGGAACAAGUUAUAGUUUCCAAAAUCACUGAGUUGAUUAACUUCUUUUUUUAUCUUUUAUUUCUAGCAUUUGGAAACUGUCAUCAAGUCUCGUAUCCCAGGACUUCAAUCACUUAUUAACAAGACAAUUAUUGAGUUGGAGACAGAAUUGAACCGUAUUGGAAGACCUAUUGCUGCUGAUACCGGAGUAAGCCACUUCUUCUCCACUCCUCUUUCUCCCUUUCACAUUUACAAGUGAAUGAAGAAUUUAUGUUCUUUCUCCAUUUGUAGGGGAAGCUGUACAUGAUAAUGGAAAUAUGUCGAACCUUUGAUCAAAUUUUUAAGGACCGUCUUGAUGGCAUGUAUAAUCCUUUUCCUAUGUUACUUAGUCUAUAAUAUGAAUUAAUGUAUAAUUAUUUCAUAGCAGAGAGAUCCUAUUUAACCUUUGGAAAUGAUUUAUUAUCCACAGACGGUCUGGCGGUGAGAAAAUCUAUCAAGUAUUUGAUAAUCAAUUUCCAGCAGCUCUAAAAAGACUGCAGUUUGACAAACAUCUAUCAAUGGACAAUGUGCGGAAACUAAUAACUGAAGCUGACGGGUAUCAACCUCAUCUUAUAGCUCCUGAGCAAGGAUACCGGCGUCUUAUUGAGUCUUGCUUAGUAUCUAUUAGGGGGCCUGCUGAAGCAGCUGUUGACGCGGUACAUAUUUAUACAAAAAACUAAUCUACUUUUGCUAUCAGCAAUGUUUUAAAUAGCAGCCGAAGUUAGAGUUCUGAUAUGGCGCUGCCCUUGAUAUAGCGAAAAAUCCAAUCAGAUACCGGCUAUAGUUAUGGUUGCAUUGUGGUUACAGAUACAUAAAAAACUUUGACGUUGAGGUGAAAAUUGUGGAUGCAGACCUUUUUUAAAACCUUGGUUGUGCAUUCCAAUUUUGAACAUGCUCUUUUAAAGAAACUAUAGUGAGAAAAUUGCGGUUCACUUCUUCAUCCUUGCUCUUUUUACACGAGUAGCUAAAAAAAUCAGAUUGUUACUGGCAUUUAGGCUUAAAGAAAAUCUGCAUUUCUUUCCCUGCGAAAGUUAACAGCUGUAAAAGCUUAGCCUGGAUUACAUUAUUUAAGGCAAAGUUGAAGUUAAAUUUAGAAAUUAGAAAAUAGAUAUAAAAUUUAUUCUUGUGUUCUGUUAUUCACUUACUACAUUACUUUUAUAAUGUUUCAGGUUCAUGGAAUUUUGAAGGAUUUGAUUCAUAAGUCUAUGAGUGAGACAAUGGCAAGUACUAUAUUAAUUGUUUCAUCUUUUGUAUGCAUAGUUCGCUACAUGUUUAUGCUUUCAGAAGUUGGUAUAUUUUUUUUAGUAUCUUAAUUGUUGCAGUUUUCUGUUGAUUGUAGGAAUUAAAGCAGUAUCCGACCUUGAAAGCAGAACUCGGAAGCGCAGCUAUUGAAUCAUUGGAGAGGAUGAAAGAAGAAAGUAAGAAAGCAACACUGUUGUUGGUAGACAUGGAAUAUGGUUAUUUGACUGUUGAAUUUUUUCGCAAACUUCCCCAAGAUGCAGAGAAGGGUGGAAAUCCAACUGUCUCACUUUUUGACAGAUAUAACGAUGCUUAUCUUCGUCGAAUCGGUAAGCAACUGUAAUUUAAGAACAUCAUAGAACAUUUUAUUUUCUUUGCAAUCUUUUAUCAUUAAUUCAAAUAGUAAAUAAUAAAUGAGUUCAUUAGCCACCACAACAUACAUGUCAUGAGCAUAUCACAGUUUUUAGUCCCUAAAAUUGCAGCUCUUGACAAUAGUUAUGAAAUUAACAAAAUUUUAAAAUGAUUGUUGAAAUCGAAAAUUUCAUUUACAUUAGUUAUUUUGGAUCGGUUAGUCCCUAAAAUUGUCAUUAAUGUGAUCGAGCAUUUUUUUAUUUUAAGAAUGAUUUUAGAAUUUCAUUAAUCUAAGAGACCAAAUUACACGAGAGUUUGAGAACAAAAUUGACGAUUUUCUCCACGUAUUAUAGUAUAUAUUCAACAUAUAUUACGUUACUACACCACACAUAUUUGUGAAAUUAGAGGCGUCAUUUUCCCCGGUUUAUUCCUUACUGAGACUCCUUUGUACGUUAACAGCUACGACAGUCUUGUCCUAUGUGAACAUGGUAUGUGGGACUCUCAGACACACUAUUCCCAAGUCCGUAGUAUAUUGUCAAGUGCGCGAAGCUAAACGCAGUUUAUUGGAUCACUUCUUUACAGAUUUAGGAAAAAAGGAGGUAAACUUUCUUACUUGUUUCCUUGAUGAUUGAAAUACAUAUGCAUGAUGUCUGAUAAUAAAAAAAAAAAGAGCCGAGUUUUGUUUUACGUGUAUUACUUUUGCAGGGAAAACAACUAGCUUCAUUGUUGAAUGAGGAUCCAGCAAUUAUGCAGCGUCGAACCUCGCUUGCAAAGAGGCUUGAGCUGUACAGAAGUGCACAAUCAGAUAUCGAGGCAGUUGCAUGGGAUAAUAAGUAGACGGCCACUGGUUCAAGUUCUGGAAAUUCGUUGAAGAAGAGGGCUUUAGUGCAAAGAGGCUCUAUUAUUUUAUUUUUAGGGAGAUUUUUUUUUGUUCAUGAUUCAAUUAUUUAUUGAAUAAGAUUAGGAAGAGUGUAGUUUUUUGACAGUGAUAGUGAAGUCAAUUUCACUGGCCUAAUGAGAGGUUUAUGGUUUUGUUGCAGAUGUGUUUCAAUUGUAUUUAACUGAUUACUUUGUCAUUAGUUAAUUAAUAAUGCAUUAUUCAUCUAUGUUGGUUCUUUUUUGACAAAUUGAAAUUGUUAUAUAGUUAAGUUGGAUUGAUUGAAGAGAAACACUACCUAAACUUCAGUAUAGUUAAUGAUUAAAUGGACGUAAUUAUUAUAAUUUGAACCUAAACUCUUAAGAAGGUAGAUACAUAAUUCAUAUUUAUGUGGUACAAUGAUGCAUUUCAAAUCAAAAUCAAAUAAAGAAGAAGAAAGAAAGUAUAUUAUCCAUUUGGUAAAUUAGAACACAGAAUUGCAGAUUUUCCAUCACAAAAAGGGUAAAAUUGGUACAUAAGAGAAAAAAAAUAAAUUAAAAUGAUGAAAAUUAUGGAGGUGCGGGGAAUCGAACCCCGUGCCUCUCGCAUGCGAAGCGAGCGCUCUACCAUAUGAGCUACACCCCCUUUGAUUUUAAAUUUGUUUUGUUUAUAAUUUUGAUAGUUAUUUGUUAUACAACAAAUAAUCAAUAUUGUUGAAAUGUUAACAUUCUUUUUGUAGAGCAAAAACAGAAUGUAUCUGAUCUAAUUAAGACUGUAAUUUCAGUAUGAUCAAAACCAAAAACAAAUGCAUCUAGUUAAUUUCAGUAUCAUGGCGUUCUAGAGAUCUUGAAAUUCUCGUAAAAAAUGGAGUAUUUUUAAUGAAAGAACUUGCAUAUAAUUUCUUAUGCAACAUCCGGUUUCCAAAAAUCAAGCAAAACUCAUCAUAUCAUCUGAUUCUAUAAUCAACGUGUAAUAAUAAUAAGAGAAAUGAUAUUUGUACAAUAAUUUUUUGACAAUUUUCUCUCAUCAUACUCACAUUAUCCUCUUAUUUUAUCUCUUCAUUUUUCUCUUUCCAUUGUUUUUAACCAAUGAAAAGAGAGAAAAAAAAGUUAUCAUCAAAAGUUGUAUAAAAUGGUUGUUCAAAUAUCACUCAUCUAAUAAUAAUUACAUAUUCUCAAGAAACAUUUAGCAAAAUAGAGGUAAAGUGUUGUAAGGCCAAUAAUUCUCUUCUACUUUACCAUGUAUUAGAUGCUGGAACGGAGAUGAAUUAAGUUUAGGGGAACCAAAAUGAAUGAUUUAGUGGAAAAAAAUAAAUAAAUGUUUUUUUCGUUACAAAAACAAAUAUCGCGACCAAUAAAUCGUUGGUAGUGAGCAACCAAAAUUGCAGAUAGUGUUUUGAUCUUUCUAAACAAAAUUGUAAUGAGGAAUCGUAUAUUGAGAUUCUAGUUCAGGAUUAGUUAGGGUUCUUCUCUAAAUUUAAGACAAAACCUUUAUUUUUUGUUGUUAAGGAUUUUAGUUAAAUAUUAGUGCAAUUAAGUCUAGAUAUCAUAUGAAGCUCACAAAAAAUAUAUAUAGACCAAAAAUAUUUGCAUACUUGUAUAUUUUUUUAAAAAGUUCGUAACCUCUAUUGAUCCCCUUCUAGCUUCAUCUCUGAUGAGAUGUACAAAAGCUGCGAUAUUCAAAAUUAAAUUUAUUUUUUAUAUUACGGUGGUUGAACAAAAACACGACAAACAACAAAGGUGGCUUUUACAAAAUCAAGAUGAUUCACCAUAAUUUUCACAAACCUAUUGACCAAAGUAACAUUAAAUAUCGAGAAGAGACUAUAACAGUAUACAGUAACUCAUUGCGCUUCUUCAACAAAACAGUAUAACUCAUUGCAUCGGUCAUCAGAGGAGUCUUCAAUCUUGCUUAUAUUAAAAACAUGUAAAACAGCUAAUUGAGAUAUAAAAUUUCAACGAGCCUUAAUUUCCUUAAUUUCCAUUACACAAAUAUUCUUAUACAAUUUUUGAAUCCGUAACGCUUUUAGUUAUAGUGCUAUAAUUAUUCUUCAUUGUGAUUAAGUUUUUUUCAGUAUUUGUUAUAGGCAUGAUUAGAGCUCUAAAAUUUCAACUUCAAGCGUCCCUAAGACAUGAAACACACCUCAUAUUGGACAAUAUAUAGAGUUGAAAUAGUGACUAACUCGACAAUUAGGCCCUUUGUCGUUUCAUUUUUACUUCGAAGUACACACUCUCUUCAUUGAUUUCAACAAAUCUACAAAAUAUGUUGAGAAAAUCACAUCUGUUAUGAUUGUGAUGAGACGCAAUCUUUAUCUUCUACAAGUUCAAUAUCAAAACAACCUCAACUAAGGUAUUGUGGUAGAUUCUCCGUGCAUCUGACUUGAAAUUCAAACUAUAUACUGUUUUUUUUAAUACUAUCUAAAAUUAUAAUGAAUGUUCUUCAUUUAAUUGUUUUUCCCCUAAAAAUAUAUGAAUUUUAAUAUGUGUAAUAAUAUAUUUUCUUUUUUUUUGUUUACUGAUGAUUAGUAAUAUUUGUUAGAAAUCUAGAUUUUUUUAUGACAGUUGAAAAGUUAGAUAUGAAAUCAAGGUCGCGUGAUAAUUUGAUGAAAGUACUCUUCCUUCUUUUGGGGUUUGAUAAAAAUGUUGCAAGAUACAAUCUAAUUUUAUGUAUGGUUGUAUCACUUGAGUAUGUGUUUGUUUCCACGGUGAGGCAAUUGCAAACAUGUGUUUCUCAUUAAACUACACAUUGUACAUGUUUGGUAUAACGGCAAUUUUAUCAAAAUCACCCACUUUAAUUUUGCAAAAGCUACAAAGUCAUUGUAAUUUUUCAAAAGCUACAAAAUGUAGCUUCUGAAAAUCAAGGUGACUCAUUGUGAUUCUGAAAUCCUCGUAAUGGUAACAAACAUGCACUUUGUAGCUUCUUGUUAUCACAGUGGAAAUGGAUUUCGACGAGCGUUUUCCUUCAUUGGACGUGAAUCAUUUCUGAAGAUGCUCUAAUGUUUUCCCUCAGUGAACCUUUCCUAGAGUACAUAUAGGGCAAAAUGUAGACGUUACCAACUAGAAGUUUGAUUAGUUUGACAAACUCAGUGUUAGAAUUUCGACUUAACAGGAUUGAAUUCUUUUGCUUUCGUUUUCUUUAUUGGGUUUCUGCUUCUUGGUCAAAAAUGUAAAUGAUAAUUCCUAAGUGCUUUUGUUUAAAGAAGUUACAUCUAGUAAUUUGCAGGUUUUCCAGAGACAUGUUUUUUAAAAGUUACUUCCUUCAAGACAUUGAUGAUGCUCUAUGGAAAUGAAGAAGACAAACAAUAUACCAACAAUCUUCGUCAAUAUGUUCCAUCACAUUAUUUCAGUUGCACAAAUUCAAUAACAAAUCAACUGACAAAGUAGUGCCACUAUCACCUAACAAAAUAUUACGAAUGUAUAUACAAUUGAAACAAAUUAGUUAUCAAAAUUAUUGAAAUGGCUUGACAAAAUAAUAAUAAUUAUUAACUGUCUCUUGGUCGCGUUAUUCAUCAUAUCAAAAUUGUCUAACUACAUAGUAAAACCAAAUUCACCUUGAAGGUGCCUCUGAAACCUCAAAACUGACUACAAUGAACCCGCAGACUGAGCAAGAUGAUUAGCAUGAAUGCUGUUCCUCAGGCAGUUUCAACAAUAUUUAAGCACGAAUAGUGACAUCUGCAAUAUUUCAUGAAUUUGAAUGGUUUUGUCAGUCAAUUAUGAUUUGCCUGGUGAAAAGAAUUCAUUGAUUCAUAGCUUUUUCAAACUACAAAUAUACUGAGUUAGCUUCAGCAGAUAAGAAGGUAUGGAAUUGAAAGACCUACCGAAAACAUCCAAAAAAGAUAGUGGCAUACUGCAGCUAUAAAACUGAGCUCACGAGGCAGAGCAAUUUGUAAUGAAUCCACAAAUGAUGAAAUACCGCGAUGCUUCACGAGAACUUUUGAGGUAGAGUUCUUCUAUAUCCACAAUAAUUGCUACAAUUCAUUAGCAACAACAAAGUACUGUGGGUUAAGCAGUAGCUGUACAAUGUUUACUAGAAGAGAAAUUCAUGGACCUGGGAGAAUCAUUUCCUCUAACGACACGGUUAUAGAUAACCUUAAACGACUGAGAGCCAUGAGGUCGAGUAAGCAAACUUAUUGGCAUUCUUAGUGUUUGCUUUCGGUUUCUUCUUCCCCGAAUCAAAAUGCUGAACGUUUUCUCAUCAUCCAUGUUCAUUUCGCUACUGCUGGUGCUAAUGUUGGAACCGACAAUUUGAUUUGGAUCGUUCCCAGCAUUGUCGGUCCCAGGAAAAUUUGGAUUGCCAUUUUCUUUUAUACUUUCUGAACCAACUCUCACCGUUUCAUCUUCACUCAUCUCUGAUGCUGAAGUUUUUACCUCUUUAUUCAAAUCCCCGACCUUAUCAAUGUCAUCAGGCAGAACUGAAGCUGGACUUGGACUUUCAACUGCAUGAAACUGCACUUGAGGCUCUAAAAUGAUAUCAGGGAUUGGUUCAACAAUAGGUACUGGACGAGGAUAUUCAACAGGAUGACAACCAGUCCAAACAGCACCAGGACCAAACUUAGAUAUGACAGGAUUCAAAUUACAUUGCCAUGUAAAAUGAUUGGCAUGAAAGCCACUGCUGGUUUGUACUGAUUGAGGUUGAGUAUAAGGAGGAUACAUGAAUGGCAAUGGUUGUAGCAUGUUUGGUGUUGUUGGAGGUGACGGAUAUGCAUGGUGAGGAGAGGAACACAUUGGGUUACCAGCAGGUAGCACAGUAGCAGGUCCAGGGUGAACAUUCAUGUUUACUGGCCAGGGGCCAAUAGCUGGAACAGGACCGGGACCAGAAGGAUGAGACAUAUUCAUGGCAAUAGGGGCAACACGUGCAAUGGCAGGUGAUGGGUUGAAUGGAGCUGCUGAUGCAGACAAUUUCUUAUACGAGAUGCCCCCAGCUUGGCUUUGACUAGGUGAUAAUAAAUUGACCCCUAAAUCCUCACCACCAUGUGGACUAGAACUUGUAUUAUCAGAAGGUUCAAAACUGCAAGGCAAAUCACUUGCAACAAGUUCUUGUUUGUAAGAUUCCAUAGCAUCUUCAACUGCAUCAAUCACUAUGCUGUUAUCAACAGCUCCUUGUGCUUCAACAUCCCCAGAUUCAAGCCCCUCGGCAGUUGCACAACUAUCUUGCACAACUUUAUUCAACUGAGUUUCUUCUUUCUUCUCAGUAGAAACUACAGUAUCAUCUUGUGAAUCUUCUAUAGAAUCGGACAAAGAAUCGUCAGACUUCUCUUUAAACACGUUAUUCGCCUCUUUUGGGGUUGGAUCGAUGUUUCUAUGAGCUUCAAUAUCUUCCUCUUCAUGUUUUCCAACAUCAUGUUCCUGACUAACAGAAAUCUCAUUUUGAGGAUUAUAGACCUGCAACUUGGAGAUUGUCCCAGGAGGAGCCAAGGCUACUUCCUUGUAUGAAGGACUUUUACCAAGACUAACUAUAGAAGUCUUAACAGGAUUAACCUCAAUUGAAUCAACUUCUUUAUCACCAACAAUUUCUAAUGUCUCAUUUGCAACAGUCUUAGAAGCAGAUGGUGUAGACUUGACCCUGUACGCAACAGCCUUGACUGCUUUCCUUCCGAAUUUAGCGCCUUGGCUGAUGUUUACAGCACGGUUAUCAGCACCCCCAUGGUGUAUUGUCCGCUUCUUCAAGAAAUAAUACUUGCUAUUCUGAUUAGCACUCUUUACCGAAGAAUGUUCAGUGCCAACUUCCACAUUCUUCUGGUAACUAUAAACUUUGCCAUGUGUUGCCCGUCUUUGUUUCAGUCUCCGACCAUAUGAACCAGCUGAUCUUGGUCUUUGUACUGAUUGCCAUCCAUCAUCUCCAUCGGGAUGUGCUUCGGACAAUAAUUCAUUAGAAGGUUGUGGCUUUUCAUCCAAGAUCUUUUCUAAAAUUGGCUGUUCCGGAUCAGGUGCUGAGUUGCUCUCAUUCUCAGAAUCUGCACUACUUGCUGGUUCAGGUAUAUGUAGCUCUUCAUCUGAAGCCUCUUUCUGAAUUUCUUUUGAAGACUCAUCAGAACUUACUGACACAUUGUUCUGGUAGGAUAUUGCCCUCACCUGACACAUAAUUAACAAACAAAUAUGAUUUGUAGUACAAAAUAUGGAGAGGUAAGCAAAUCUCAGUUCUCACGUUAAUGUGAUGAGUAAUUGUUUAAGCGCUAGAAAAAUUGCAUCCAGAAGACUUAUUAAAUUGAUCUUGAAGCACGUCCCAUAUUAUUUACAUCUCAUUAUAGUAUAAAGAAAAUACAAAAACGAAGAUGAAUAAGUUUUACGUUCAAUGUUACCAUGUUACCAUUUAUAGUUUACACAAUGAGUACAAUGUACAACAAUUAUAUUGAUGGUUAUUCCUUCUUCAAGAUAGACCAUUAGCCAGAUUUCUCUCGAUCCUUUAGCAAAUUACCAAGUCAUACAACAACCAAACCUUAUCCCACUAAUUGGGGUCGGCGAAUGAAUCAAACGAUGCCAUUAUGUUCUUCACAUAUCAUAUCCCUAUCAAACUCAUUGAUCUCUAGAUCUUUUUCAAUAGUAUCUCUUGUAGUGUUUCUAGGUCCGCCUCUAGCGAUUUGACUAUCAUCCAUCUAAUCUACUCUCUCUACUACAGAAUCUACAAAUCUUCUGUCUAGCAAAUUACCGAGUCAGGUAUAUUAAAUACCAGACUACUCCCUCUGUUCAUUUUUCUCCACUCAGAAAUGAAGUUACCUAUUUGAAUUAGUAUUUUUGCAAUACAGCGUAGGUAACUCCAAAUUUAAGAUUAAAGAUUGGUUUUAUUAUUGCUGUCUGUAUCAGACAGACUUAAAGCAAUCCUUAAAGCAGAGAGAAAGAAUUCGCAUUAGCCAGAGAAUAGCUCCACAAUAAUAAAAUAUCCCUUUCAUGGGUUAUGGACAAGUUAAAGAAUAGCUCCACAAUUAUGAAACUCUAAAAUGCCAAGAUAAUCAAUCAAUCAUUCAGAGCAAUAUCAGAAAAUGUAUAUUUAGACAGAAGACAGCAGCAUUCAUAAAUUAGACAACUCUUUUAUAUCUUUUUUGCUAGGUCUUAAAGAAUUGAACUGAUGAGAAGAUUAUCAAGUCCAGUAAAUCUGGGGAACUUUUGUUACCUGGUUUCUUCUCUUUGCUGCUGCAUCUCUCCCUUUGGCAUCGUGAUUAGGAUUAAUGUAGUCAAGAAGAUCCGACACACUGACAAAUUCCACGGAAAUAUAGGAAAUCAUUACAAAUGGUGUAUGUGAAUGUAUCAUAUACAAAUAUCAUAUGCUUAUAUAUAAAAAAAAAUAUAUACAAAUAUCACACACACACACAAAUAUAUCAGUUCUUUCACUGAAAUUACACGCAUCAAUGUUGACAAUUCAAGAGGAUAACAUAGCCCUCUACAAACGGCACACACAUAAAAUAGGAGUUAUAUCUACUUCGGGCACAUGUGACAUGCACAUUAAAGUUUGCUCUUUUGCAGUGUCUAUGUUAGAUUUUGCUCUGUUGCAGUGUUUAUGUCUGUACUGUGUCCAAUGUAUUCUUAGAAUUGACACGAAGUUGUUUUUUUUUUUUUUGGUGAACAAAGAGGGCCAAAGCCCAACACGAAGUCAUUUUCAAAUGUCAAGUAUAUCCAUGAUUGCAUACGAUGUACAAGAAAUAAUUUCUUCAUUAGUCAAAAACAUUUAGAUAGUUCUACUAGCCAUAAAAACACCAAGAGAACUGUAUUAACGACGGUCAUUGACCACAGGCUUCAAAGACUGUAACAAUAUUCAUCUCAGAAUUACAUAUUACAUUAACUGUAAAAAAAUUACUCCAUCAAAUAACACCAAGGGAAAUAUCCACUACACGAGUACUUCCUGAAGCAGAAACUAAUCAAUUAAGUAUCAAAUUCAAAUUAAAAUUCAGAGCAUAAUUUCACUAUACCUUAGAUGACCUUUGCUAGCUAUUGAUGCAUCAGGUUUUCUCGUACCAUUUCGAGCAGCUUCUUGCUGUUCAAAAGCCUUGGACUCAAAAUACUCGAGCCAAGCUGCAGCGUCCUGUAGAAUUCAUCAAGAAACUAUAGAUUAUGCAAAACAGUUAUAAUUCUGUGUACAUUAUUGUUUUAAGAAAAAACAGAAGUGAUACUUUUAGCAACACACAAUGUCACACAUAUUCAUAAUGAUAAUGAUGAUGAUGAGAACUAUUCAAACAUUGUCCUGUGACACCAUUUAAGACUUCAAUCAACCAGCUAUAAUAUUGUCGAUUACUAGUUUACUAUUCAAAAAAAAAAAUUGUGACAUCAUUUAAGAAUUCAAUAUACUGACUAAAAUACUGUUAACCACUAACUUCUGUUCUAUUAUGUUUGAUACUACUAUAUUUUUUAAACCAACUAGAGUUUGCAGAACAUAGAACUUGCUUAAUGUGACAAUUUACCUGUGUUCGCAAGUCAUCAGGGCCAAGCUUUGCCCUCAGAAUUUGCAAAGUUGUUUGCUCAUGCUGCACACUCAACGGAUAUGCUUCCAUCAACGAGAGUGCUAUUGCUAUUGCAUGGUAACUUGCAGCUGUCUGCAAAUAAUCAGCAUCCAAAAAAGAUGCAAAUGUUAUACACAAAUGAGAAGCUUUAUUACAUAAGUAAUGCAAGCCUAUAGGUUAAUAUUAUUACCUUCUUUAUAUAUUUUGAGUUAAAAUUAUUAAAAUUGCCAAGAGUACUAAAAUAGUAACAUCAUCAGCAUUUAAUAGUAACGCAAAAUCAGCAAUUUCAACCUACUAACUUCACUCGUUACUAUAAAGCAUAUUAUGACAAUUAUGUGUUAUGAAACAUUCGACAUAGAAUUUAAGUAAAAUGUAGGAUUACUCGGAAAUAAAAACUUCAAACUAUGGCAAAAACAGGAAAUAAAAUGAAAUAAACUAAAACCUGAAUAUGAUCUGCACCAAGUAAUUUUUGGUUGCACUUUAAUGCUUUGUGAAGAUAUCUGAGAGCAAUGUGUACAUUUCCCAGACCUUCCUCCAUCAUAGCAACAUUAAUGUAAGUUGCGGCAGUAUUUGGAUGAGAUGGGCCACAUGUCAGAUGCAAAAGGUAUAAAGCACGCUUCACAUAUCUGAUUGCAGAGACAAGCAGUAAAACAAUAGAUCAGAAGAAAAAUUGAAAAUAACGCUAUUAUUAUCACAAAACAUCAAAACUUGUCUUUACAAUACUUUUGAAGAUUAAUUUAAAUAUAGUUCAAAUAAGUAGGGAAAUAAACCUAGACAGUCCUGUUAGAUAGGACACAAUAAGUAAGGGUAUUCAAUCUUCCUCUUUUGUAAACAUUGUUUUCUCUCUUUAUAAAUUAUUCUUCUUCAAGUUAAAAAAAGUAUAAAUCAAACUUAAAAAACUCAGUUAAAUCUAUACACCACAACAUUGUACAACGUUAAACAUACUUAAGAGCCAGUUCUGUGUGUUGAAGUCUGUAAUAGAAAACAGCAAGAUCCCCAUAGCUCUUCAUGGUAUCAGGAUGAUCCAGACCUAACUCUCUCUCAUUGAUAUCCAAAGCUUUUUGUUGAUAGAUCGUAGCCUGAAAUAAAGUAAGAAACUUAAUGAACUGAAAUCAAAUUUUGGACUUGACAAAAAUAGAAAAAGUAGAUCAGAUUUUUUGGUGUAGAUGCAUUUUUAUAGACAAAUUGUUACUAGUUAAUUUGUUGGGGGGAGGGGGGGUUGUUAGUGCAGGGAUCAAACCAUGGAGAUCCUAUAUAAAUACUUCUGUGUCCCAACCCAUACAACUGGACAACUUCUUCAGGGAUUGGUAUAGAUGCAUAAAAACUAUAUCUGAAAUAAAUCUAUGGUUUGAUGAAAUAAUGUCUACCAAUACCAAAACAUUAAAGAUUAAAAUAAACCUGAUUAAAGUCUCCGGUAUGAUAUAAAACUACAGCAAGGAGGCUGUAUGCUCCUGCUGUCAUCCGAUGGUAGGGACCACAAACUGCUACGAGCUUUGCAAGAGCCUGUUACCAUAAAUUAAAGCGGAUAACAUAUGUCAAUUUCAGAAUGAAAGAUAUUGAAUGUUGAAAAACUUUUUCAACAAUUUGAAGAUUUCCAAUUAAAAGGUUCAGGCUACAGAUACCUUUGUCCCAUAGGUAACAGCAUCUUCAAGCUUUCCCUUGUCUAAAGCUGUUUUGGAGGACUCCAGAAGCUGCCUUCCAUCUGCAGAUGAGCAUGCUGCUUGCUGCAAAGGAUCAGCAUAAGAAAUGCACAAGUUAGGGCAUAUUCAAUAAUCUUCAAUACAUUAUGUCAGAGAACCUAUGUUCAACAUGUCGGCUACCUUGUGAACUGCAACCAAGCUGACAAUAUCAGAUUUUUGGAAGGGAAAUGGAGAAUCCAUGUCAAAGUCCCUUGGAACGAGCUCAAUUCCCACCUAAAACAGAAAACAGUGAUAAGAAACAAACUGUCAAUGAUCGAUAACUCAUUGAUUAAUGAUAAUCUUAAGCCCAACAUAUUGACUGAUUAAGUCGGUCUCAGAUUAAUCUAUAUGUACCUGUAUGCACAUAUGUUGUACAGGCAAACAUGAAUGUUUUCUAAUAAAAAGAAGGGAAAAAACAAGGACAUACAACAGAUAUUAGAUGUACACAAAAAUGCUAUGAGAGCUGUUGCAGUUAAAGGAGGAAAACAGGUUCACUUGUUUCACGACAAGAGUGACAUACUCUUUGUAUGGGAUGAAAAUAAGACCUUCUUAUGUCAAUAAGGUAAUAAAGGUAGCAUAUAAGCAUGUAAAGUCCACUCUUCAAAAGCUCCAAAUAAUUACUUGAGGCUAUUUCAACUUCACAGAGAAGUAAAACUCAAACUCAUUUUCUUUAAUGUGUACGGUGACAAUAUUAAAGUGUAAAAUUCAGCUUACCUAAUACCUCAACAGGUCCCUAUCUACUUUUAUAGUAACUGAACUUAUAACCAACCAACAAAUACUUGCCAAAAUGAAUCACAAAAUCUGGCACAGUAUAUUACUUCAUAACAACGUAAUCUGUAAUGCAAGAGCAAGUAAUAACAGAAACCAGAGUUUUUAUCAACUAUUAACAAUUUCCAGACUCCAGUACCUUGUGACACAAGCCGCGUAGAAUUGCAAAUUUCCGCACAUCUUUAUAGUUCAACCUGCUAAGAUCCCAGUCAAAUCGUUUCUUCAAAAACAACUCUAGCCAUUUCCACACAAGAGGGUGGACAUCACAUGAUUUAUCUGAUUCUUUAUUUUCAGGAACACCAAGCAGCAAGUUCAAUGCACCAGCUAUUGAUGAAGCCAUGUUUUCCUUGUCAACAACAGAAGAAAUCACUGCCCUCAGGAUGUGCUUGAAAGCUCGAACUAUCAUCUCAUGAAUGCAAAGUGAUUGCACAUGUGAAAGUUUUUCAGAAAGCUUGACCUGUGAAGAUAAGCAAAAUGCCAACAUCAUACAACAUGGAAAAGCUCACAUACAAUAUCAGAAAACUAAAACAAAAUCCCGCACAAAACCUUCUAAAACAUAUGUGGCAGACAGUAAAAGGGAAAAGACAGAAAGUCCAAUCCAAAUAUAAAGCAUUUUAGUUUGACCAACAUUUAUAAUCCCUAAAGGCACAUUUUCAGAGCUAGUUAUGCUAUUUUAGAGAUGUCAAUGAAACACUAACAUAAGCCAUUUUGUAAAUGUUGACUGUAGAAGAAGCAUGAAAAAGAAUACUCUAUUUGAUAACAAAGAGGACAAGUAAAUAAAGUUUAGAGCACUGACAACAUGUCCAAGAGAUCGCAUUCGUAGACCCCUAGUAUGCAUAAAAUCAGUUAGCGUGCGGCCAUCAACUGGAGAGAGUUCCAAUGAGCCAAAAUCUGCUACCUGUAUUGCAAAAUUAAUAGUAUCAUAAAAAUCGUGAGGGUCAUAUUAACAAGAAAGCCUUGCAGCCAACCAAUGAAAUAAAAUUCUAUAAUUACCAGUUUUGGGAUAGCAACAUCCAUGUAAUAUUUCUGAGACAAGUCGAUCAAAUCUUGCAUAGACUGUUAACAAGAAAAAAUAGUUUGGUUUAGACACCGGAUGAAAUAGAUUGGUUUUGUUGCUAUGGAACUUGAAAAUACAUUGUUACACCAAGAGUAUUUACCUUGCAGUGAAGUCCAGUUCCUGAUUCUUUCAAUCGGGUAAAAGCUGCCUCAGAUAACAUCCGUUUCAGCACAAGCUCAUUGUCAACUGCUGCAGUUUCAUGUUGGGAUUCACUUGAGGACAAUGCAUCAUUUUCACCCUCGAGGUUAGAUUUUGAAUGUUCAGAUGCACAAUUAGUAUUGGUUGAAUCAGAUUUCUUUUUAUUAUUCUUGAGAGCUUUGAGGGGUUUCCCAAGACCCUCAACCUUCAUUUCAUUGUUAGCCUUCUCCAAAGAUGGUUUCUUAUCUUUUUCUGUACUGUUUUGGUCUUGCAAAUGCUGUACCCAGCACGCUCCUAGUUCCCAUCUUACAAAAUAGUCCGAACUUAGUUCCUCUUCCUCAAGCUUAGCAAGGCUUUUUUUAAUCAGCUUUUCCACAAAAGCAUCUGUACCACCAAGCUCUUCACUCUCAAACAUUUGUAUCUCGUUCAUCUGUUUAUUGUUCUCUGGCAGGGCUGUGCUGUGAAGACGAAAUCUUAAACUGCAAGGAACAACAAAAUAAUUACACGCCCUAUUAUCAUUGGAUCUGGAUAAAUGAGAACUUACUCAACCAAAGGAAGCUAAAACAACUGUUAUGAAGUUUCAAAAAAUGCAGAAAUAUAAUCAAAUCUAUAAAAUAAUAACAAAAGCCUUUUCCUACUAGAUGAGAUCAGUUAGAUGUAUAAAACAGCGUCAUAAUGUAUAUCUAAAAAAAGAAAAACGCAAAAGCUAUAACCAAAAAAUAACUGUAAGUCAUCCAAACAUCGAGGAGUACAGUACACUAUGAAAAUAAAUUUCUACGUAAAAGUGAGGAAAGCUCAAAACUUCAUCAAAAUAAACUCCCAGCAAAACUUCAUGAAGUAUAUACAGUAUGUAAAGCCAUAAACUAGAAAAAUUGUAUAAUGCAGAAAACAGAAGGGUUCAAGAACCUGUUAAUAUUUAGUGCGUUGGCACCACCCUCUGGCUGAUCAAACACUUCAUUAUUUUGAUGAAAUGAAGAAUUGGCAUUGUCAUUAGCUCCACCUUCAACUUUCACAACAACCACAUAACCACAAUAUCUUACAUAAACAACACCUAAAGUGGUAAUAUCCUGCACAUUAAAUGUGACAUAUAUUAGUUCUAUGAAAGGCAAAGUAGCAUCCAAAGAACCAAUUUAACCAAUCUUUAUCUAUAUAAAAAAAAUCAUACAUGGGCGGCAGUAUUUUCAUCUGCAGUGAUCCCUUUCAGUAAAUUCCGCUCGACUAGAUCCUUUUGAUUUACUCCUGUAGCUUCAACUCCAUCAAUUUUGGAAUCAAUCUUACAGCUUGCAACAGAACCGUCUUUCAAGACUCUAACGCUCAAGUCACCUACUCUCUCACUGUAAAUAUCAUUUUCUACUGCUGAGCAGUUAAAACUGGGAUCUUCCAAAACAUGUUUAACAGCCCUAAUUGCUCUGAAAAUGGCAACGUCAACAAACAGGCUGUGCAGAAGAAAUGCUUUUCUAUCACGGCCUUGCCUUUCUUCUGCUGUCUUGCAGGGCAUAGAUGCAAUAAAAGAAAACUUAUUGGCCCAAGGAAUCAAAUCAUACUCUCCGUCUCUUCCUAGACCACCACCAUUUCCUCCCCAAUUUUCAUCCUCCACGGGAAGAGGAGGAAAAAAUGAUGGUGAUUGAGCUGCAAUAGGAGGAACGAGCCAAGUGUUCGAUCUGAAGCCAUAUGGGAGAUUUCCAAACUGAAGACAGAAAAUGAGGCAGAGAGCAUAAGUAAAUACAGUGUUAGUUGCAACAAGCAGCAUUUACAUGCGCCAAUCAAAGCCAUUAACAUGUUUUCUGCUUCUUUUACCUAGUUAUGUCAAAAUUUGAAUUGUAGAUAAGAAAUGCAAAAAAAAAAGGAAGUUGUUCAAUACCUUGUUACGUUCUGAAAAUGCCUUCAAGAGAUCAUCGUACGCCUGAAAAUUUAGAAGAAAUUUGUUAAUUUUACAAAAUUAGAAUAGAAAAGUGCAUGUGUUUAAGCUUUUAAUUUUUUUUUUGAAUUUUUUUUUGUUCAAAUCAUACAAGAGCACGGACAUAAUUUCGAAAUCUGAAACAACGCAUGUCAAAACUUAAAAUACCGAAUUAUAUAUUUGAUUAGAACAUUUGAAAAUUCAAUUACCAAGGAAUAGAGACUUCACAAAUAAAGCCUAAGGAUUGGCAUUCGAUUGUUGUUUUCUGUAUUUAUAUGUUUACAAUUAUAUAUGUACCCAAUGUGUCUAUGAUGUAGCAUCAGGAGGACUAUUAGCUAGUGUCUAUCAACUUACAAGAAUAGAGUAUAGUUUCAAAAAUUAAAGCAACACGGGUUAACAUUUAAUUUUAAUAGUAGAUUAUAUAUUUCACAGUAAAAGUUUUUUUUUUGACAAAAUACUCCACAGUAAAAGUUGUUUAAAACUAAAUUAAAUUAAAGAGACAAAAAGUGGAAAGAGCACAAACAUUGUCAAAAGCUCUGCUAAUCUGUCUCAGCAAAUCAACAAGAUUAUGACACAGAAUCCUCUGCUUCCCAACACUGUAAAACCCCUUUCUGCAAGCCUCAACGUGCACCACUUUCCCGUUGCAAACCUUCACCUGAGAACACAGCACAGCAUAAGCAUGUUUGGCAAAAAUGGAAAAAAUUAGUUUGGAAGAGAUACAUUUAAUAAUUGUAAAGAUAAAUGUUCUCCUUGGCAAGUCUGAUCUGCUUGCUUAAUAUCACUCGAUCGGCUUAUAGUAUUUUUUGACUCACUUAUAACUUUUUUUUUAUGUUCUAAUACCCUAUCCAAGAAUUAAAAAUAUUUAUCAAAAUUGUUUCUAUCUUUAACCUUACUAUUUAAAUUACAUUCUUUCUCAACCUUAUGUUAAACUAAACAAAAAAUCACAUCAUGUAUAAAAUAAAAUAAAAUAAAGAAAGAAUAAUAAUAGAGUAUAUAUUUUACUAAAACAUAAAAUAUAUAAAAUUAUUAUUUCAUUAUCUUAUCACAUUUCGUUUAUAUGAGUAUGUUAAAAUAGAAUAAAAUUAAAAAAAUAAAUAAAUACUAUUCAAAUUUUCAAAGUGAUGAAUAAAUAAAAUAUUAAAGGAGAGCAAUAUUUUAAAAUAGAUAAUAUAAAACAAUAAAAUCAUAUAAAAUUGAAAUAAAUAUGACAUUUUACAUGAGUAAUAUUUAUUUAUUCUUUUCAUCGUUAACUACACUAAACAUUUUAAAAUUAACUAGUUAUUAUGAAUUAAUAUACCUUCACUUCCCUCAAAAAAAAAAAAAAAAUACCUUCACUAUUUUUUCAUUUUUUGUUGAUAAAUUUCACUUUUUUAAAAGAAUAAUAAAUUUUACUUAAACUUACUGUCAAAGCAAAAACACAUCCCUAAAAUCACUUUAAUCCAAAUUCAUUUUAAAUUAUUUGGUUUCACUUGAUUUCAAUUGAAUUGAUAUUAGAAAUAUGCUUAUGAAAAAAAAUUACAUUUAAAAUCACAUUAAGAGAUAAAAACAAUAAAUUCAAAUCUAAUUUUAAAAAAAAAAAAAUCAACAUAUUAGUUUUGUUUUUAAAUCAAUUUUGUCUUUUGUUCAAAAAAAAUAAUAAAUCCAAUUUUUCUAUUAUUAGGAGUAAUAAAAACGAGAAACCAAACAUUCACUAAUCAAAUCAAAUUUUAAAAAAUGCAGACAAACAUGGACACGCGCGUGUUUUUAAAUUUAACGCGCGACGAGAAAAUGAAAAGGCGCGAAAAAUACUUACAUCGAGCGAGAAGAGAUGAUCCUCCUCCAAUAUCUCCUCCACAUUUCGCUUGGAAGCUUUCUUCACAUCUACAAUCAUCAAUUCACAUUCAAUUUCAUCGCAUCAACCAUCGGAAAUCAAUGAACGAAAAAGCUUGAAAGAAGAAGAAGAAUUGUACAUUGAAGAGGAGCAGUGAGAUGCGAAAGAGAGAAAAACUCGUAGAAACUCUCGAGCUUAGGACAUGAGUGGCUUAUAUCUCCGUCAGCGUCCGCCGCAGCGGCAGCUUCUUUCUGCAAUUGCUUUGCCGGAGGCGGUUGAGAUUUGGUCGACUUCGCCGCAUUCUUCGGCGGAGACGACGGACCGAAGCUGGUGGUGCAUGCAACGAUGUCCAGAAGUCUUCGCACGUGUGCCACCGCUCCAUCUGAAUCGUAAUCCUCUGCAAGUGUAAAAUGUAGAUGUAAAAGAUUAACUAAACGACGUUGUAACCGUUUUUCUUAUUCUACUUUAAAAAUAAAUAAAAAAUGAAGAGAGAGAAAGAGAAAUGAACCUUCAACUAAAGUGAGGAGACAUGGCUUCAAUGCGGACACAUCUACCGUAUCCUUUAAACGUACACCUCUUAUCUGUAUUAUCAUCAUCACAUAAAGAGUUCUAUUAUGAGUUAUCACAAUCAAAAUAUACAUAUUCUAAUAUAAAUAAAAUUUUAUAAUUUCAUUCUAUAUAAUUAUAUAUUAUAUUUAUUUGCUUUUUUUAUCUUAUUUUGUUUAGUGUACAUUUGUUAUUUUUAUCACCUUGAAUUUUUAAGUUCAUCUAGAACAAGAUUUUAAAUCCAAGGUUCUUAUGUAUAUUAUAUUGGAAUUCAUAUAUAAAUUAUUAAUCUCCAAAAAUAAAUUUGUAUGUGCAUGAUUAAGUAUCAUUCUAUAACUGACAAAAAGUCGUUAUCUAUAUUUUUCAUGAGGUCCAUAUUUAUACUUAAAAAAAAUUUAAAAAUAGGUCGAUAUCUAUUUGAGCUUAGGUCGAUACUUUCUAGAGACAAAUAUACAUUUAAAUUUAUUCUUUUUUAUUUAUGUUUUUCUUAGAUAACGAUUGGUGUUUUUCACUGGCUACCAGUUUCUAGAUUUGUCAAAUAAAAGUCAAAUGUAGUUUGUUUGAAUUUACAAAAUACCACACACAUGUGUAACACAUAGGUGACAUAAAAAUGUGUGAAAAAAUGUUAAUUUUAAAUUAAAUAAUAUGAUAAUUAAUUCAAGUUUGAUAAUCCUUAUAUUGUGUCGUUAAAUUUAACUAAUUUUAUCUCAAUGAUAAAACGUUAAAUUAAAAUUAUAUAAUCUAUGAAUGGUACACAAUUUUUUCACCUCAUGUGAUAGUGAAAAGUUGGUGAUGUAACACGUCUCAGUAUUCACCGAUAAAAGCCGACGAACAUCUAUUAUUCUAUCCGUUGAUAUCCCCUGCUUCAAAAUAUCAAAAAAUUCAUUUAAAUAUAAAGUUUGUAUAAAUAAUAAAUAAAAAAACAAUAAUAAAGUCGUGAAAGCUAAAGCAACUUGAAAAUGAGAGAAAACCCAAAUUCUUCAUGGUAAGUGGAACUAUUCACCAAUUCAAGCAACAUAACAGAAAAUUGCAAAAUUGGGUUUGUUGUUUUGUUGAAAACAGAUACAUUCAUAUUUUGUCUACAUGUUAUAUCGUCAAAUUAUCAUUCCAUAGCCACACACUUUGUAUUCUACCAAAAAUAAGCUAUAAAGAUUUUAUAAUAUAGCUAAUGGUUGAAUUUAAUUAUUAAUAAUCUAUCUAUGAGGUAUAAAGUUCAGCACUACUAGCCACAAUUUAGUUAAAAUAUGAGAAACAUAACAAAAACCUGCAUAAAGUUGUUGACAAUGCACAAAAAAUAAUAAUAAGCUAUUAGAGCAAGAACCAUGACACUUAUACCAAAUUAACUAUUUUUCAAUCUCUUCACAAAUUAAUUAAUAAACUUAAACAAACCUUGAGAACAACACUAGUUUCAUCUGGAAGGUUCACUGUGAUAUCCAUGACAACAGGAAGAACUGCAAAAUUACAACUAAGUUAAGUAUAUGAUUAUUUAACAAAGCUUUCAAAUUAAGUGCUUAUAUUAUAACUUAAUUAAUUGUAUAAGAAUAAUUCAAAAUUAGAAAUUUUGUUACCCUUCUCUUCCUUCUUCUUCUUCUCUCCCUUGGCCUUUCCACGACUGUAUCUUGGGGCCAUUUUCAAUUCCUUUGAGAUUGAAAUAAGAAAAAAUAGAAAUUAAAGCUUUAUAAGAAUACACAAAUGCAUAAGUUAAGAUAAUUUACACAUUAGAAUUGCUAUAUAAGGUAGUAAUAUAUUUUUUAUUCACUAUAUGUUGCACAAAGAACAAAUUAAAGGUUAUCUAGAGAAUACUUUAGAGGUGCAAAGGAAUUUACCAAGCAAGUGCUUUAAAUGAACUUUGAGGUUGAAGAUGACAGAAAGAGAAAGAGAGGGGGGGUUCUUUAAUGUGUUAUUGAUAAGAAUAUAAAGUACAAAAUGAAAAAGAGUGAUAAAUGAGGUAGGUUGAGAAUGAAGAUAAUGAAGUGUGCAAGAAUGAGGAAAAAUGAUAGAGGAAGAAAAAUAGGAGAAGGAAGCAGAAAGAUAAUAUAGAGGAAAGUGUGGUAUGAUAAGGAAGGAAGGGCUGAGAUUCAAUGGUCAGAAUCAUAGAUUGGCAUUUUAUGGCAGCUUGCUUAUAACAGGUUAAGUAUCAAUUUGCAGGGUAUAUCAUGUCUAUAUAUACACCUAUACCUUCAUUUUCAUUUUUUGUAUUAAUUUUUAUUUUUAUAAAAAAAAAAAAAAUAAAGCUUAAUUUGGUGUAAACGAUUCAAUGAAAACGUGUGAUAUUAUUCAUUUAAAUGAAAUGCAAUAAUAAUUGCAAAAUAUUAUAUUUUCAUUAGACGUCUGUCUACGACUAAUUUACAUCGACGAUACUUCUCUCUUUUUUAUUUUAAAAUUUAGAACUUUUUGUUUUUUUAUUAUAUUUUUCAAAUCCAAUAGCGGAAGGAAUUAGUGGUGAUGAAGAGGGGGACCACGUAGUAUAGAUAGGGUAUAGGGAAGCCUUAUUAGCAUCAUAAAUCGCUAUUAAGAAAUUAAAGAAUGCAAAAAAAAUCGAUAAUACAACUACAAGGUUGAAUUUGCAUUACAACGAGAGUAUGGUCUUUUGUCAAAAAAAAGAGUAUGGUCUUCCCUCAAAAAAAAAAAAAAAAAAAAAAAAAGACUAUGGUCUUAUUAACCUUCACAAUAUUGCUCAAAAAAAAAAAACCUUCACAAUAAAUGCAUGGAUUUUGAAUGAAAUAUUGAAACAAUAUACUUAUUUUAGUCAAGGUUCAUAAGCUUGAAUUGGCAAUGUGUUGCACAUUUUUUUCUUGUCAAAGUUCACUCUUUUCAUGGUAUUGUUUCAACCUUUUUAAAAUGCAAGAAAUAGAAUUGUUUGCCUUUAAUGAAAUUAUUUCCGCUAAUUUGGAUUUAGGAGCAUAAUAUGUUGGAAUUUAUAAAAAUUCAAACAAUGGGUAAGUUAUUUUCAUCGACAAAAAUAUUUAAGGAAUGAAGUAGGCUGAUUAACUUGAUUUUUAUAAAAUUCAAAACUAAUUGUGCAUAAAUACAUUUUUCUACGUUCUGUAUUUUAGGAGUAUUACUUCAAAGUAACAAAAUGAUACACGUGAAUGCACAAUGUUCUCAUUAUCCAUUUUCUAACAUUUUAAUAUUUCUCAAUACAAAUUUGAUUAAACUGGCGGAAGAUUUUAACCCUUAAAUAAUCAAUGGUUCGAUAUUUAACUCUUACAUAUAAAACAAUAAACUGAUUUGUUGAGGAGAACAUAUGUACCUUGUGUAUUCCAUAAAAUUGCUAACGGAGAUUAGUUACUUGCUAAUCAACUACGAAAUCUUCUGUAAUAUCCCGCUUAAAACUUUUACGGCAUCUUUAUCGGUUAAUUGAGUUGAAAAGAGUGUAUAAAAGGGCAAAUUGGUAAUUUGCACCUAAAAGGGUAUAAAUAUAACACAAACUCACAAUUUCUUCAUUUUUCUACUUCUUUCUCUCUCUAAAAUCAGAUUUUUCCUCCUCUCUCUAACUCACUCCCUCUCCUCUCCUCACUCAAUCCACCAAAACUCAUCAUUUCUUCAUGUAAUUCAUCAUGCUUUAGUGUUUUCAUGAACUUUAAAAGAAAUCGAACCUUUAGAGCGUGUUUGGAUGGAGAAUGUUUUAAGGUAAUGUAAUGUUUUGAGAGAAUUUAAAUAUUUUGAGGUGAAUUCCAUUGUUUAGAUAAUAAUUUGAAGAAUUUUUAAAAUGAUGAAAAUUUAUGAAGUAUUUUGUUCAAGUUAAAUUUAAAGAAUUUCAAAUGACAUCUAAAAACUAAGAAUUUGAAAUUUCUUUAUUCUUAUAAUUUUUCAUUUAGGUCCUCAAUUUUCAAAUUUACCCCAAUAAAUUUACAAAAAUUGCAAUUUCAGCCCUAAUAUUUUUAUGGAAAUUACAAAUAUUCCCCUCAACUUAUUCAAAAUUAUAAAUUGACCCCUCAAAAUUUUUAAAAAUUACAAAUUGACCCAUAAUUUCAAUUUCCAAAUUUGGCCCAAAAACAUUAAAAUUUAUAAAAGUUGCCCAAAAAUGAUGACAAUGAAAUUUUUUAUUUUUCCAUCCAAACAAGGAUAUUUAAAAAUGAAAUCAAUUCAAUUGAAUCAUUUGAAUUGAUUAGAAUUCUAAAUUCUUCAAAAUUUCUCAAUUACCUCAUCCAAACACACUCUUAGACAACUUGAUCCUUCUAUUUUUCAUCUUCUAAGAAGUUCAUUCAAAUGAUCUUAGCAUGUAGAAAAAAUUGAAGCUUUGCGUUGUAUUUUGAACAUUUAAAGUUCCUAGUAGAUUAGAUCCCACCUUGGGGUUUGAUUAUGUGUGAUGUUGUGAGAAAUUAUGAACUUCACAUAAAUUUAUGCUUAAUAGAUUUCUCCCCAUGAAUUACAUAAGUUGUUCUAUGUUUAUUUGUUGAUUUGCCAAGCUGAAUGAAGCACUUUUUUAUUUUGAUAUAGAAGUAUAAGUAAACUCAUAAGAUUUAAGGGCAAAUUUCAUGCUGAAAAACAAGUUUUAUUCUUCUCCUUCAGUGCAAAAUUGGUGUCCAAUUUUCCUAAUUCAGGUGCUGAUUUUUGACGACACAAAAGUCUCAAAAAUUCUGUCAAAAUCGGGGGCCGAUUUUGACAGAUCCUGAAACAUCAAUUUCAGUCAAAAAUUGCUUGUAACUUCCAAUUUUCGCACCUAUUGCCUCUGAAAUGAUUAUGGAUUUGCUUAACACAUUUGAAGGAUUAUUUUUAAGGACAUAUAAACCACUAAACAUUCUUACAACUUGUGACAUAAUUCAAGAGUGUAUAAGUAUGUUAAGAUUCAGGUUGAAUCCUAAUCAUUAGAAACAAGGAUUUUCAUAGAAGAACUCGACUUAGAUAGUCGAGGACAGUUAACAUCAUAAUGAGUUAGAAACAUAUUAGAUAUAUGUUUUAUGUUAACAAUAGAAAAUGUCACGGCUCAGUAAGCUCUAGAUUAUUUUGGAUAGGAUUUUUCCUAAAGGAAUACCUUCGUGGCAAUAGCUGAUUAAAAUUAGUUAAUCCGUGUCCCUCACAGACUCCAGAUUAGGCUAGAUGGGAUUCUCCCUAGUUGGGAAUCCACACGUAUGUAUAUAAGUAUGUAAUAUAAGCAGAUAAGUCAUGUCCCUCGCAGGUUCCAGGUUAGGCUGGAUGGGAUUUCCUCGCAAGGGAGAUCUACGCAACGAUAAGAAGAGUCUGAUGUUAGCCUCAUAUAGGAAUUUAACCGGUUAUGUAUGGGGAUGUAUCCGUGGUUACUCCACCCGGGUUCAUGCCAUAAAAUAAACUCAGAUUAAUUGUGUGUUACACGCUAACUUCUAACAUGAAUAUGUAAACAUGAUAUGAAUAAGUAUAUGUCAAGAUACUAUGAUAGUAUUCAGACUAGCGAUCUUAGUUUUCCCCGAUUGCUAGUUAUGCAGAAUAGUAAAUCAUGAAAUUAGGUAUAUGCAGCGACAAAUGGCAAUCAUAGAUUCCUUGAGAUUGUCUACAGCCUAGGAUAGGUGGAACUCAUUGAGAUAUUCUGUCUCACCCCCAAACCCUUUUUUUUUCUUUUCAAAUCAGCAUGUUGUUCUUGGCAAGGAAGGACAAUAUAGGAGGUUGAAUGACUUAUCUUCAUAUGCACGUGUCGAACUAGUAUAGAUUAUUUCUUAUGGUUUCAUAUAUGUAUCAGAUAUAUGUAUUUGACAGUUAUAUCAAGUUAGCAGAUGUACGAACUUGCAUUGAUGUUUAUAUUCAUUCGGUCGAAAUUACAUUGUAAUUUUAAUGUAUCAAGUACUAAGUUUAACGCACAUGCUAACUAUUAUAGAUAAGUUUAGUGUGGAUGUUACAUCUUCUUACUCGUAGAUUAAAUUCAUAUGGGUCUCGUCAAUUACCAUGUGGAUCUUACCAUUUUAUGCGAGGUCAAAUUUUAAAAUAAAUCUCACUCAACAAGGAGAAUGAAUCCUCUUAAAAAUACUUGAAUAGUUAUCUUAUUAUGAAAUCUUGUUAUUAUAUUAUUUCUGCAAAAUAUUAAACUUGGAUUUCAAAUACUUGAAUAUUAUUAACUUAUUCUGAAAUAUUGUUAUUCUAUUAUUUCUGCAAAAUUUGAUGUUUUCCCUUCCUAUUAGAGGACAUAUUUGUGUAUAGUUUUUUUUGUUAGUAUGUUAAUAUAUUCUUAGUAUAAGUUUGUUAGUAUAUGAUUGUUAGUAUGCGAAUGCUUAAUCUAUUUUGUUGACAAAGUUUUUAUUUUUAUUUUUUAAACAUGUGUUAGUAAAUAUAUUAGUAUAUGAGAAUGUGUUUGUAAGAAUAUAUAGUAUGUAGGUGUUCGUUAAUAUAAAUAGUAUGAGUUUUUUAACUGUAAAAUUAAUAUUAGUUAUUUUAUAAAGAUAAAAAAUUAAAUCAUGAAGGGUAGCCCCUCAUAAAAAAAAUGAAAAAAUGUGUAUUUUCUAAUGUUUUUUUUCUUGAGAAAAAGUAUACGAGGGACUCGUCAGAAAUGUUUGAGAGGUAAACUCGUCCGAUAAUAUUGUUAACCGACACCUUUUCAAUUGUCUUGUGCCUCUUAAAAAAGGUUAUAUUUUUUGAGUAAUGAUAUUUGAACAAUCUUUUAGUGACAACUUACCUUUUCUCUUUUCUUAUUGGUCAAAAACAAUAGAGAGAGAAAAAGGAAGAGAGAGAAUAAGAAGAUAAUGUGAGUAUGAGAGAGAAUGUUGUAUAAAAGUUGUCAUAAAAUAGAUGUACAAAUAUCAUUUCUCAUAUUUUUUAGAAACUUUAUCCCUAAGAAAUCAACACUUUUUUUUUUUGUAGUGGUAGUCAUGUUUAAUUACAAUGAAAUUCAGAUAAAAAAAAUCUUGCAUUACAAAGAUGUUGAAUUUGCAAUGACAGUGCAAAAAUUACAAUGUUGAAUUUGUAUUACAAAGACGGUAUGGUCUUAUUAACCUUCACAUAAAUAUUUGAAUGUUUGAAUGAAAUAUUGAAAUAAUAAAUUUAUUUUAGUCUAAGUUCAUAGACUUGAAUUGCCAACGUGUUGCACGUUUUUUCUUGUCAAAGUUAGUGAAUUGUUUCAUCGUUUUUAAAAUGCAAGAAAUAGAAUUGUUUGCUUUAAUGAAACCAUUAUCACUAAUUUGAAUUUAGGAACGCAUCAUGUUGGAUCUUAUGAGAAUUCAAGCAAUGAAUAAGUUCCUUUCAUUGAUUGAAAUACUUAAGGGAACCAUAAAGUAUAUUGAUUAAUGUGAUUUUUUAUUUUAUUUUAUAAAAUUCAAUGUUUUAUAACUAGUAUUUUAGGAGUAUUACUUCAAAGAAGCAAAAUGAUACACGAGAAUACACAAGGUUCUCGGCAUAUUCUUUGUAGUUUUUGUUUUUAUUUUUAAGCAUGUCCUACUUUUUUUUAAAAUUGAAGUUUAAUAUUUUAUUUAAACUAGAAAAAAUUUGCAAUUUAAUUUAGUUCAUAAGUUCUAAAUAUGAAACAGGAUACCUUACAGUGGAGAAUCAUUGGUGUUUAUUUUAAAUUUUUAGUCGUUAAAUAGAAUAAACAUCAAUAUAAUUAUGUGGAUAAGUAGACUAAAAUUUUGAGUUACACCAAUUCAUUAUUUGAUGUUGCCUAUGGUUUGGUCUUAUAAAAAAUUAUACUUCCUUUCAUUUUGUUAUUUUUUUACUUUGUUAUUUAAUAUUAUAUUUAAUAUAAAUCUAUUAUAUACUUUGUUUUUUCAAUGUAGUUUUUUUUACUUUGUUUGUAUCUUUUUAUAUAAAAUAUAUGUUAUUCUUAACUUUGCACUCAUUAUGUUAACUUCAAUUUUUUUUCCUUGUCCGAUCACCACAAAAUUUGUAUUACUUUGUCUAACAUUCGAACGUAAUGUAAAACCUAUUUUAGUGAAUUUUUUCGUUUGUAGUUAUACUAACGCAGUAGCCUACACAACGAAUCUUUAUUAGUAUCAUAAAUCACUAUUAAAAAAUUGGACAAUGCAAAAAAAAAAAAAAUUAAUACAACUACAAGGUUGAAUUUGCAUUACAAGAGGGUACGUUCUUAUUAACCUUCACAUUAAAUAGUUGGAUGUUUGAAUGAAAUAUUGAAACAAUAAACUUAUUUUAGUCUAAGUUCAUAGGUUUGAAUUGGCAACGUUUUUAAAAUGCAAGCAAUAGCCUUUCAAAAAAAAAAAAUGCAAGCAAUAGAAUUAUUUGUCUUUAAUGAAACCAUUCUCGUUAAUUUGGAUUUAGGAACAUAAUAUAUUGAAACUUAUGAAAAUUCAAGCAAUGGAUAAGUUCUUUUCAUUAACUGAAAUACUUAAGGGAACCAUAAAGUAUACUGAUUAACGUGAUUUCUAAAAAAAAUCGAAAUUAAUUGUGCAUAAAUAUAUUUUUCUAUGUUUUAUAACCGGUAUUUUAAGAGCAUUAUUUCAAAGAAACAAAAUGAUACAUGUGAAUACACAAAAGGCUCUCAUUAUACCUUUUUUUUUUUGAAGGACUCAUUAUACCAUUUCUAACAUUUUAACAUUUACCUACAAAGAAUUAACUAAAAUGGUAAGAGAUUUGACCCUUAAGCAAGUGGUUAAGGGUUCGAUCUUUGACUCUUCCGUAUGAAAAAAUAAUUAUUCGUAUUGGAGAACUUACCUGAUGUAUGCUAGAGAAUUGCAUACGAAGACUAAUCACUGCUGAUCAACAGUAAAAUCUUCCUACUCGUAGAUUAAGUUCAUAUGGUCCCGGAAAUUUUCAGAUGAAUCUUACCACGUGCAAUCAAUUUUCAAAAUAAAUCUCACUCAAUAAACAAUUUCGGCUAUUCAUGUCCUUAAAGUGCAUACAAGUUGAGUUUCAUGUUAUUAAUAAUUGAAAUCUAAGGUAUUUGGUGUUCUCAAUUGGCACAUUGCAAAUUAUGGUAAAUCAUGGUUUUUUUUUUUUUUUAAAUUUGUAAUUAUGUUAUAUGAUUAAAUUUAACUUGAUUUACUUUUUAAUUAUAAUAACUCUUGAAAUUACGGGGACUUAUUUUUCCAAAAGAAAUUAUGCGACUUGUGUGUGUGUGUUGAAUGAUUCUUAUAAAAAUAAUGCACUAUUAAAAUAUCCUUCAAAAACAAUUAUUUAAAGCUCAUAAACCUAAUUAAAAAAAGUUUAUUAACUCAAUUACAGACUAUUUUUCAAUUCAUGAUCUAUUUAAAUAUCUAUAAAUUGAGUGACAUCUAGAAUAGUAGCUAAACAUAAUUUAGUUACCAAAACACUACUUGUCCAAAAAAACACUACGUUUGCAGAAUCCUCAAUUAUUGUGUAAAUUUUGACCUUUUGCAUGCCAUUGAGCAUGCAUCUCUCUUCAUGUAUUAAUUGGAGAGUCAAUAUCGACAAAAUAAAGUAAUCACCAACCAACCUUAGAAAUGUUGCAUGCACAAACAUUAGGAAUCAUUUACUUAUGUGUAGCAAUAUGCAGCAUGCUCAAACAAUAACAAUAUUGUUUCUCUCUUUUUAAGUCAAAGGGGCAUUGCAAACAAUAUUUGUAACAUUAAUAUUUGGCUAGCACCCUGAAUUUUUUUGCUAUAUAUGUAACCUAUGAAUUGAAGUAGUAGUAGCUAACAACUAAAAAAAGUGCUUGCAAUAAUAAGGAGCAAAAUAGCAUGUUGAAAAGUCUUCUUUGUGAUGAUUAUUAUCCAUUUUGCAUGAAAAUAUUAAUCCUACUAUAAGCUUUUGUCUGUGCCAUUUCAAGCAUGUAUGUAUUUAUAUAUGAGUAUUGCCUAAUUUAGGAUGUAUUUUGUAACAAGAAUGAAAAAUGAAAAACAUAUCCACCAUUCUAUUGAAGUCAAUGAACAAUGUAUGUAGGGUAAUUCAAUCUUAUACGUUUGAGCUAAACUAAUAGUUGUGUAGUAUGUGAGUGGAUAAGUACCCACUAUAUAUCCACCAUUCUCAUGAGAAUGAUGUCUGGAUAACUUUGAUGCAGAUUGCUAUAAAAUUAAUAUAUUUUGAAAUUUGGCUUGUUUUCGUAGUCUCUUGAAUUUUUUAUUUUAAUUUUUUGGAUGUAUAGUCUCUUGAAUUUUGACUUCUUAAAUUGUUAACACUUAUCUUUAAUUUAUAAAUUAUUAGACAUGGAAAAAUGAAAUUACUAAAUUAAGUUGAAUUUCCAAAAAAAAAAAAAAUUAUAAAAAAAAAUUAGUUUUCAACUUUGACACCUCCAAUACAAAAAGAAUCUCGUGAAAAGGACAUGUCAUUUCAGAUUUAAAACUCUUACGGAUUAGUCAAUAAUUUGCUUUUAAGGUGAAGGUGAUUCUUUGGUAUUGGCAAAGGAUAAAAUCGAACAUAUCGUUACAGAAAGAAAUGAAAAAAUGUUGUGUUGCGACAUUGCCAUCUUCACUACGCUUAUUUUAUUUUCAUUUUAGUUCUUCAUUGUCCAACAUGUUCGAUAUUAGCAUAUGGUUGUCUUGUCUUGUAAUUGCCCAAUAAAAUUAUCCUUCAAUUAACUUAAGUGGUACCUUGGUAUCACAUAAAACACAUGAGACUCUUCUCUAUUUCGAUCACCCUCCUUAAAAAAGAAACAACUAAAAGAAAUCAUUUACAUUGUGAACCAAAUAUGGAAAAAUUAAAUAAACCAAUUUUGUUUAAAUUUUAGAUUUUUCGAUGGUUUUGUCUUAACAUGCACAAGCAAAAAUAAUUUUGCAUCAUAUACACAAGUGUCUUUUUCCCCAUUGAUUCAAUAAAUCACAUCAUGUAUCGUUUAAUUUAAUAAUAUGAUUGUUGAUUCAAUGGUAAAAACUAAUUUAUGCAUGAUGCACAAGACUUGGUUUAUGUGUGCACCAUAAAAUUUGCCUUCAUUGAUGAAUAAACAUCUUUCUAGGAGAUCGAUAAAGAAACUUGUAUAUAAGACUUGUUUUUCUGUCUCUAUAUUUUGAAAUCAUGUUUUCAAAAUUUACUUGGCUCAUAGUUUUCCAGCAAUAAUUGAUACUUUCUAGAUCUCCUAAAAGGAAAAUCAAUCGCAGACCAUCUCGUUUCUAAGUACUUUCCAGACUGAUCAUUUUGUUUCUACUUGAAGAUAAGUGCCACGGUAUUUUUUGGAUGCAUUUGCUCGUAUACAAUUAUUAUUACAUAUUUUCGAAUUUCAUUUUUUUAAAACGAUUUUUAUUUUUUAUAUAUAUAUAUGGCCAUUUGUUCAUCCAAUUAUAUAUUAGAAAAUUUUCCAUUAUAUAUUUGUUAUUCCACGACAACAUUGCUUGGUCAUGUGCAUUGAUAUCUCUUUCAGUGUUUCCCUCAUCAAAAGAGAGGUUCCAAUUGACCAAUUAGAUAUUUACAUUUUUUAUGAUUGUUCUAAUCAAUAAUGUAAUCUCAGUCCUUUGUCUUCCAAUUGUAAAUGUAGGUUUACUAAGGGCUUGCUAGAUUAAGUUUUGAAUUUCAGUUUUUAAAAUUAUUUUAUAAAUUACCUUCUAAAAACAAUUUUUAAUUAGAAGAUAAUAAAAAAAAAAUUACCUCAAAUUUUUUUUUGAUCGGUAAUCCUACUUUUAAAGACUAUAUUAGUGAUUUUGUCAAAAAAAAAAAAAGACUAUAUUAGUGAUGAGAAAAUAAAAUAAAAUAUUUCCUAAUUUUGUUUCUAAAUAUGGUGUGUUGAUUUUUAUUUUUAAUAUUUUUAUGGUAAAUAUUGUGAUCUUUUUAUUUUCUGAUUUAUAAUAGCAAGAGAGAUAUACAAAGUUAGGUAAAUUAUAGAGGGAUUGAACCUUUGAAUCAUACAAUGAAGUUGUGGAAAAGAGUGAAUGAGCGGAGAUUGAAAAAAGAAAAAAAAAUGAUAAUCAAUUUUGUUUUUUUAUGGGAGGUUGACCAUUGAAGCCAUCUAUUACUUGUGAUGGUGCAAGAUCCAAUGAAUAAAAAAGACUUACACUAAUUUUCAUUGAUUUGGAGAAGACACAUUAAGGGUGUUUUUGGUAUAAGAGAAAGAAGAGAGAAAUAGAAGAGAAAGAGAUAUUAUUGUUUUUUAAAAAGACAAAAAUAUCCUUGAAUAAAAACAAGAUAUAAUUUAUGAUUGAUUAAUUUAUUUUUGUACAAAUUAACUUAAUUUAUUAGUUUGAUAAAAUUAAAUUGUUUUAAACCGUAAUCCACCUCUCAUAAAAAUAAAAAAACGUAACCAAAAAACAAAUUUAAACCGUAAUCCACCUCUCAUAAAAAUAAAAAAUCAAAAUCAAAACGUAAUCCUGGCUAGUGUGACUUGGUGUUGAUAUGUGGAUAAUUUGGUUUGCCUCUAUUUGGGUACUUGGAAGGAGAGAAAUCACCGUGUAUUCCAAAACAUGGCUUCUAAUUCUUCAACUCUUAUCGAAAAGGUUAAACUCUACUCUUUUUUAUGGUUGAAAUCAAAGCAGGCGACAUUUAGUUACAACUAUCAUGAUUGGUGGAAACACCCGCUUCUUUGUAUGGGUGUCCACUUGUAAGUUUUCUUGUAGGUGUUGACAGGUGUUUUCUUUGUGUUUUGCACCUUGUGUGGUUUGCCUUUUGCACGCCUUGUGCGGGGCAAAUCACAGUUGUUAAUAUAUCAUUUUAGUUUGUUAAAAAAAAUAGUGUGGAUAAAAUUGUAACUUUGGUGGUCUAUUGACACUUUUUCUGCUUUCUUUGCUGGAUAGAGGAGAUACCAAAAGGUAAGAAUGUGGUCUCCUCUAAUUCUCUCUCUUCAACUUCUCUCAUCAACCAAACUGCAGAAAGUCACUAACUCUUCUCUAUUUAUCUCUCACCUAUUUCUCUCUUCUAUAUUUCUCUAGAACCAAACAAAGUGUUAAGGGUGCUAGAGAAAUGUUGCUAAAAGUUCUAUAAAAGAAAAGAAUUAGGAUCAUGUAUAUUCAAGCUACUUAUGAUCUAGAUAGGGCUCUCGACUAAUGUGAAGACACAUGAUGAGACUACAAAAAUAUUUUCCACCACAAUGAGACUUCAGUGAGAAUCAACUUGAAACAAUCAUCUUUUAACAUUAGUAUUAGACAUGAUUAUGAAACAUUUCUUUGAUAAGCCUUAAUUAUGAAACUUAUUCAAGAUUCGACACCGAGAUGCAUACUUUAUCAAAUUUAUAAAGAUGAAAAAACAUAUCAAAAUGAGUUAGCGAGUAACCAAUUGAUUGAGCUUAAGUAGUUAAUGAAUUUCCUUUCAAAUGAAUUGUUUGGAAGAACUCGAGUUCGAUUCGUGGAAGCAACAAUUCUUGGUAAAACUUUAUUUAAUUACCUCUAAGUCGAACUCCAAAUUAUCAAGGUCCGCAUCUCUAGUGAUCUAGAGGAUUAUCAUAAACAAAAAAACUGGGUCAGUGAGUUCGUUAAGACAUAGGAAAAAAAACUACACUCUCAAAUACAUCAUCACAUAGCGUCCGAGUUAGUUGAUGAACCAUCUAAAUCGAAUUAAUGAAACAAUUGUCAAAUUGAUCGAUUUGUUGCAACCUUAAAUCCUUCUGAACUUUAAUGUAAGAGACAUGUACUAUCAUCUGCCAAACCAACAAUGUGGAAAGAAACUUGUAACAGAAAAACAAUGUGGAACCUUAAAAAAAAAAUGUGGAAAGAAACUAAGUCAUUGAAUACGUCAUUAGAAUUUGCCGCUACAAUUAAAUUAAUUGUCCAAAUCCGUGUUUCAUCAACUGAUAAGUAAUAUUUUUCCAUGUAUUGCAUAAUGUUGUUUUCCCUUUCUCUCUUGUGAGCCGUCACCAAGACCAUAAUUUCUUCUCCUUCAUUCAUUAGAGGGGGGUGAUUUAGGGUCAAUUUUUGACCCAAAAUCACCCCUCUAACUCGUUUUUCUCUUUCCCUUUUAUUGAAAUAAGUGAUUUUCACAUCUAUUUCAUUUUGUAUCUCUUGUGAUUUCGUCGUCUUCGUGCGACGUUGGUUUGUUCGUCGUCUUUGUGUGACAUUGUUUGUUUUUCUUGUUUCUCUUAGAUAUUUGAUCGGUUCAAAUUGUCAGAUAAGCUUCAAUCCAAUGCAGAUCCAAUCAACGACUUUGGCGUCAUCCACGUUGCAGAUCCGAGACAUGGUUAUUCCGGAGAUUUAAAUAUAGUCAUAUGUGUAGGCAUUUGUACUUUGCUGUUUUAUGCUAUUAACACGGAUGUUGUGAGCCUGUUCACAGAUUCAUCCUUUUUGUUUUUAGCGAAUUUGCAUUAUAUCGAUGUACUCUAUCAAUUUGAAUGAAUGAAUAUCUUUUAUUUUGUCAAAAAAAAAUAAUAAUGUUCUUUUCUUUUUCAUAAAAAAAUAAUAUUAUUUUUUUAAAAUCCCCUAAACAAAAGUAAUGUUUUUAAAUAAUAUCAAAACACUCUCUACUUAUAGGAUAAUUUUGAUUUUUCAUUUCAUGAGCCUAUGAAAAAUGUUAACACCAAACCAACGACCGACAACCUUGUACCUUAUUUAGUUAAUUUAGUUAUUAUUACUAGUACUAACUUUAGUGCCCUUUUGGCAAGAUAGAGCAACGUAAGAAAAACCAACUAUAUAGGAAAGUGGCCACAUAUAUUCCAGGACCUAUAAACCCCACUAAGCUAACUGUGGGACGGCAUUAGAUUAUGUAAUACUAUUAUUUUGCAUAUAAAUAGAGCUUUCAAGAUUAAACUAUAGUUAACACUAUUGUUCUUUUUCAUGACAUUACACACCGUGUAGCUAUUAUUUUGAUAAUAUUUGUUUCAAUUUCAAGUGCUCUUUAUGUUGUGCUAUUUGUUACAUCAAAUAUUUGGAAAUGGAGAAUAGAGAUUGGCUAAACCAAGCCAAUCAAAUCAAUGUUUUUGUUGAGAAUCUACAAGAUUGAAAGUUCUAAACGAUUGGGCAACUAUUGUUGUUGUCCAAAUGCAAAAUAAUGGAAGUUGCCUUUCAUGAUGAUAAUUAAACCCAAUCCUUAUGUGUAGGCUCUUUUUGUCGUCAACAUUUUGUUUAUUCCUUUAAUGUGAGAGCCCCAUUUACCAUAACAUUUUGAAAGACACAAAUAUGGCCUAGAGUGUCAAGAGUACAAGACAUUACACAAUAGUGUUUUCUUAAGUAGGUUUUGCAAUACACAACUUGAGUAUUUGUGUAUGAGUACAAAAAAUAAUGAAAAAUUGGAUAAAAUUUGAUCCAGAUUAUCAAAGUGGAUUUCGCCAUUUGUCACAAUAGGUGUUUUGUUUCACCAAAUGUAGAAUUAUUGUGUUUAAACCAUAUCAAAGAAAAUUCCUCGUCGAUUUCAAGCUCGUUGGUUUAGAGUUUUUUUUUUUUUUUUUUUGCAGAAAUGCUAAAUCUCACGACAUUUUAUUUUCCGAGAAAUUCACGAGAGGCUAAAAAGAAUAUACUUUUAUUUCAGCAACUAUUUUUAUAGUAAGUGGGACCUCUAUUAUUAUUUUUUGUUCUCGAAGCAUUUUAAGAGUCUUGAUACAUUCAUGAGUUUUUUCUUGCGAUGUGUAGCACGAUUCUUUUUUUUUUAAGAGUACUUACGAUAACAAUAUGUUGUCUUUUGCUUUACAUGUUAUUUAUUUUCUAAAAAGAAAAUCAAGUCCUCUAACUUCAAAGGGAUUUAAAAAUUGGAAAAGGUAAAUAAUGGAAAAGAUUGUGGAUUUUCAUCUCAUAUAUCAUAUGAGAAAAAGUCAUAAUUCCUCGUACAAUGUUACUUUUAGAUGCUAUCAAGAUUUAAAGAACCACUUCUCACAUUGAACUUUUUUUAUCCAAUUAAAACUAAGCAAACACAUUUUUAGUUAUCGCUUGCGGCUUUAAACAUCUGUUGAUGAUGUUAAAUGGUUAGCAUUACAAGCUUGUGUUUUUACAAGAUCUGACUGGGAGUGUUCGUGGAUGGAUUUGGGUUGGGUUUGACUAAAUCUACAAUCAAAUUAAAUAUGGAUUACCCAACUAUUGGGUGAGUUUGGGCAAAUCCACUAAUUUUUAGAUUGGGUUGGAUUGAGUAAUGGAUUACCCAACUUAUUUUUCUAUUUUUAAAACAUUAAAUGACUAAAUGAAAAAUCCGCAUAAUUUUGUUUUAAAAUAGUACUCUACUUUUUAAUUUUCUUAAAAAAAUGUUUAACUUAUUUUACUAUAAUAUAUGCAUCAUAGAAUAUCAAAUAAUAAACUCCAUCAUAAAAUACUUGCAACAAACUAAAGUUGCAUGGCAUAAAAUUGCAUUAAUAUCAAAAUAACCAAAAAGUGCAACAUAUUAAUUUGUAACUCUAGUAUGUUUUGAUUUUUAAUAUAUACGGUACAAUGUGUAUGUUUUGGAAAUAUAACUUUUUUCUACCCUAUGAACAUAAAGAUAAAAAAUAUUAACAUUAUUGAGUAAGUGGAUUUUUUGGGUUUUAGUCUGGUUUUACCCGAAACCCAUUUAUUUUUAUGGGUUUUCCAUUUUUAAAAACCAUACCCACCCAAUUACCCAACACAAUCCAUUUUUUUGAGUUUUUCGAUGGGUUUGACCGGGUUUUCUGGGUUGACCCAACCCAUGAACACUCCUAGAUACGACGAACCAUUGUGAUCUAGAAAUUGAGUAAACAUUACAUUCUACACCGUCCCUUUUUUUUCAUCUUCAACCAUAACUAGAAACUGUUGUCUGUUAGAACACCGGUUAAAUGAAUGAAAGUUGGAAUAAUAAACACAAAGUUUCAUUGGAUAGAGAGUAACCUGCUCAUGACUCACACAUGAUAAUUUUUUCGAUAAAAAAUUUCUUUUCAAGGUAUUAUUUCUAAAUUAGAUUUUGUUGUAUCAAAUUAUAGUCGUAAAAAAUUAGUUUUCAUUGUCUUUUUGCGAUGAUAGUUGUAAAAAACAAUGAUACGAUGAACCAUUAUGAUCUAGAAAUUGAGUCAACACUAUAUUCUAUUCUACGUCUUUUUUUUAUCUUCAACUACAACUUGAAACUGUUGUCUGUUAGAACACCGGUUAAAUGAAUGAAAGUUGGAAGAGUAAACACAAAGUUUCAUUGGAUAGAGAGUGACCUGCUCAUGACUCACACAUGAUAAUUUCUUCGAUAAUAAAUUUCUUUUCAAGAUAUUAUUUCUAAAUUAGUUUUUGUUGUAUCAAAUUAUAGUCGUAAAAAAUUAGUUUUUGUCGUCUUUUUGCGAUGAUAGUCAUAAAAAACAAUGAUACGAUGAACCAUUGUGAUCUAGAAAUUGAAUCAACACUACAUUAUAUUUUACAACGUCUUUCUUUUAUCUUCAACUACAACUAGAAAUUGUUGUAUGUUGGAACACCGGUUAAAUGAGUGAAAGUUGGAAGAAUAAACACAAAAUUUCAUUGGAUAAAGAGCGACUUGCUUAUGACUCAACCUGGUAAUUUCUUCAAUAAUAAAUUUAUUUUCAAGGUAUUAUGAAAUUCUUGCAGGCUAGCUUUCAGAUGUUUUAUACGAUGUUUCAACAUCAGAUACGAACAUAAUGUCGAGGAAGAUGUUUUAACAUCGAGCUAGCAGAAAACAGACAGAACAAGACAAAUAUAACAAAUGUUGAAUUUUAGCGCGUUAGUUAGAAGUUGUUCUAUGUGAUGUUUCAAUUUCAGAUGCACAGUUAGCAGAUGUUCCGUUUAAUGUUCCAACAUCGUGCUAGCAGUAAACAUAAACGAAACAAAAUAAAAGACAAGAAAGUAAAAGACACAGCAAGUUUGUUAACCCAGUUCGGUGACAAACACACCUACUCUGGAGACUACCAAGUCAGGAAUGAAAUCCACUAUUGUAGUCCUUAUUCUAUAGCUCUCAGCAAACUCCUCAUUUACACUAAAGACCUAGGACCUACCCGUAUUGAUUUCAACCUAGGAACUCCUAGGUCUGAGAUCACAUCUCACUAUCCUAUAGCCAGUCACAACCCAUGUGACCUAUCAGACCUAAACACAAACAAGCGGUGAAGUUACCUUCAAACAAACUACCUAACACCGUGCUUCACAACUUUGGUGUAGUGUACACGAGUUUACAACUCAACAAAUAGUCCUUAGCAUGUAUCAAGAUGAUACAAGAAAGGCUCACAAUAAAACAGGACUAAACUUGCAUCAACCGCUACAAAAGUAGAACACACAAAAACUCAAAACCCAAAAAACUAAACCUUUUUAGUUUGACGGCUUCGGUGACAAAUUAGGUCUUGAAGUCUUGUUUAUAUACAGAAGUAAUACGGGUCAAAUAGUCUUGUUGGGCUUCAGAAUAAAUUGCAGAUCGUUCAGCUGAUCUACAAACAUGAAUCAGUACCAAAAAGGAAAGUCCUAAAAAGUAGGAACAUCUUUAUGAACUUCCAAACAUAUCCAAAUAAUUCCUAAAAUAUUAUCAAUCUUUUAGGAAUAAUAAAACAACUGAUUAUGUACAGAUAUGCGCGUUGCUUGGUCACCAAGAUAUGAAAACGAGGUUUCCUUAAUAAGAAAAGACGCGCGUACAAAUAGGCAUGAAAUCAGGCACACUGAACCGUGCCAAAAUGUAGAACAUCGUAUCCAACAUCUUACAGAAAUGCCUAAAACAUGUUGAAAACUUGUAUCCAACAUCACAAACAUGGGUAUUUGUUUUAGCAACAAUGAAGCCAAUACUCAAAUACCCAACAAUCUCUCUCUUUGGAUGUAUUUGUUGAUAAAACUACUAGAGACCAUACAGACAAGGUAGAGAGAUACCACACAUACAUUUCUUCAAUUCAAACCAUGAAGAAAAGUAACACAACUGAAAAACGGACAUGUUGAGACAUCAUCCAAAACAUGUUGGAACAUAGUAUCCAACAUUACAAACAUGAAUAUUUGUUUUAGCAAUAAUGCAGCCAAUACAAAUACCCAACAUAUUAUUUCUAAAUCCAAACAACAUUGUCUUAUGUCACAAUAUUGUUGUCUUUUGUUAAUGGUUUUCAAACGGUUUGUUUUGGGUUUCUUGUAACUAUUUGUAUUUUGCUUGUAGCUUUAUUAGACACAUCUUUCUUAUGCUUAGUAAGCUCUUAGUAAUUAUUAUCAGCUUCUUCAAAAAAAUUAAGAACGGAUUUAGAGUGAGCUUGAGCUACACAACAGUUUUGCAUGGGUGUUACCGAAAACUAGCUAUUAGUAUACUUUAGAAAACGAUUUUGAAGUGAACAAGAAAAUUUGUUGUCUAGAAUUAUCAAAUGCUACACUUGCGUUUGAUCAUGCAAGCAAGAAAAAACUAUUAAACUUAACAAAUAAACAAAAAGAACAAGAGAAACACUUGGUGUAAAAACAUGAUAGAUAUUAACGGAAAUAGAAACUCACCAACUCCCCUUCUCUCUUAUCUUAGCAGAAUCACUUCUUCUUAUAAGUGAAAAGGGCAAAAUAAAGAACAAGCACAAAAUAUUUUUAUAGCAACUCUUUGCUAUGUUAUAACAUCCAAACUUGACAAAACGCUGCUCCAAUUCAGCCAACAUUCUUGAUCACUGAAUCACCAUUGAUUAAUUUAAAAGUUUUUACCUCCUACAGAAGUCAAACUCAUAUAUUAAAGAUAAGUAUCAAUAUUCUCACACUCCCACUACUCUUAGUCUAUGUUUGAUAUCACGGUAAGUGUGUGAGAAUUAUGAUGACUUAUCGUUGUAGCUUAUGCAAAAUCACGACAAAUCACCGUAGUUCUGAUAUAUAAUAUAUCCAUCGUGAUACCAAACAUACAUCUAACACAUGUUUGGUUAGAUGUUUUGUACCCCAAAUUCAUGUCUCUCACAAUUAAGAAUAUAUAUUUACUGUAAAAUGUAAAAACUCCAAAUUAAAGCGUUUCUAUUUCAUUGGUUUGAAGGAUGUCAUUCGUCGAAAAGCACAGAUAAAAAAAAAAAAAUAUAUAUUCUUUUUUUUUUUGGUAGAUAGACGAAAUGGCAAAGUCAUUAUAAAACUCACACACACAAGUGGAGGUACCGGGGUUCGAACCCCGGUCAUGAUAUCCGGCCUAACAAUUUCGGCAUUUUGCCAGUUGAACUAGGACUUCUAGAUAAAAAAUAUAUAUAUAUUCUAAGGAUUAAAAAUAAAAAUUGGUUGGUAUAUUUUGUAGGGAGAAAAAUAUAGUUGAGUAUUUCUAAAUUUAACUCUGAGAAAUGACGUGGUAGCCAACGAGAAUUUUCAGUUAAACCCAAAUCAACAAAACUCCAUCCCGUCGCGCCGCGUCGGAGAACCUAAUCAUCCCUCAGCCACACCUGGACAGUUGCAACCGCGUCACAGCCACCACCGGAAAAUCCCAACGUAAGCAAGGAUAGGUAUUGAAACAAGCUUAAACUAAUCUCAUUAUUAUUAUUCACUUACACCAUUAUAGUGCACAAGCUGUUUGAUAGAAUGCUUGAAUUGUUGCAUUUCGGAAAGGGGAAAAAAUGUGGUGGUUUGGUGUGAAUUUCUAGAACAUGUUUUCACUAAUUUUUGAAGUGGCUAAUACAUUUAUAGAAGCUUAACUAAUAAAAUAAGUGUAGCAGAGAUGAUAGAGAUGAUGAUGUUGCGUUGGAUGUGUGAUUGGUAGCACUUAUUGUAGAAAAGAUGAUGAAAACUCGGCUUAGGUGGUUUGGAAUGUCGUGAGAAGACGUGUGGAUUUUGUAAUGAUGUAGGGUAGUUUAAUCAUUAGAGACAGAGGAAGAAAUUUCAUUUUAGCUUCUUCAAAAAAAAAGAGACAGAGGAAGAACUAGGAAAACUGUGAGAGGAAUUAUUAAGAAAGAUCAGAGAUUGAUGAGUUUGAUAGAAAUAUGUUAUAAGGAGUUGUUUGAUCCAUGUAGGCAUGUAGCCGACCCCACUUAGUGAGAUGAAGAUUGAUAAGUAAUGAAGAUGAAGUUAUUAAUUUGUUGUUUGAAUUUAAAAUACCUGAUCUUUUGAUUGUUUACAAUUUUUUUGGCCAUUGUAUCUUUUCUUAAACAUGAGCUAGAAAAUAUGCAUUAACCUAAAGAAGUUGAAUUAUAUUGGUUAGGCUAUACUUACCUCCCGGCAGAAUUCUGAAUUACCAGGGGGCCCUUCCCCAGGAAACCGGAGAGUUGACACAAAAAAAAAAAAAAAUUAUAUUCCCAUCUUAAAAAGUCCACAAACUUGACAUACAUAUCCAAUAUCAUCCUUUGAUAUAAAAGAAUGAUCACGCCCUUUAAUUGUAUUUUGAACAGUUGUUGUUGUUCUUUAUUUCCUUGGUUCUUGUUCCUUUUGACAGUGGUCUGAUCUGAAGCUUAAGUUUUCUUGUUUUUAAGGUUCUAUGUUGAAUAGUUUACGGAUAGGUUUCUAUCUAUUGGUUAUUUGUUAAUUAAAACCGAUAGCUCAAGUUUUAGGCAAGACAUGUGUUAAAUUUUAAAGUAACGGCGAAGUCAUGCAUUUUCGAAAGCAUGAAUAAGUUAUCUGAUAACACUGUAAUUACUAGAUUAUUACACGAUUGAAUGCUGCUGUAGUCAUAAGUCAUAACUAAUGAUCCAGACAUUACAUAUGUAUCCUUCGUCAAGGAAAUUUGUAUGGUGACACUAUUAAAAAGAUGGUAAGAGUGACAUUGGUGGGAUAGUAAGGGAAAAUUGGUUACUCUGUUGAAGAUAUUCUUCCCAUAAAGUUUUCUUGGUAAUAAUGUGAUAUGCUUGUUCUUGAUAUUAUUGAUGUCCUUAGUUUUCUUUCAGAUUUUGUUUUUCUUUUUCUGAAAGUGGUUUUGAUGUCCAUAGUUUUCUUUCAGAUUUUCUUUUUCUUUUUCUGAAAGUGGUUAUUGAUGCUCCUAUACUAUUUAUGUAAACCUAUUUUUUAGGAGAGAACAUACAUGGUCCUAACUCCUAAGGCAGUUUCUGUUAUUAAUUCAUCUUUUUAAUAUAUAUACUUUUAUUGUAGAAAUUAUGUUUGUCUAAAUAUCUGUGUAUUUUCUAAUGGCCUGAUACAAAUUUGUGUGUUUGAUUUUAUUCUUACUUGCUAUUUGAUUUGCCUCUGUUUUAUUUCCACGUGAUAUGUUUAAAUUGCGUUUCUUGCUUUUGUGAGAAACUUCAAAACUGUGAUUCUUGCUUGUGCGAGAAACUUAUUUGAAUUGUGCUAGAAUAGCCCUUUCAAUGGCUUCCAACCCGAUUAAGGAUGAAGGAAAUAGUAAAAUAUUUAACUUUUAAAAAUUUUAACAUUUUACUAGUGAUUUUGUAAUUACUAGUAUAAUUCAAACACUUGUUUUUUUGUGUUGGCUUUUUCCAGUUUAUGCAUUGAAACAGAAAUAACUUAUCCAACAUAAGCCCUCUUCAAAAUAACUUAUCCAACAUAAGCUCUCAUGUGAUAUGCUCUUAUGCCAUCAGCACUUAAAUAAGCACUUUUCAAUGGUGCAUUAAUAGUUAAUAACAGUACCCUACUAGAAGUCUAGUAGUCAACUAAACCAACUUGCACAUGGAUAUGCACUGGGAAACACGGAUCACAACAAGCCCAUUUAUGUUGAACUCUAGACUUUAUAAACUGCAUUAGAAACAGCAAACUGUCAUCUUCCUUCCUGAUAGUCAUCUUCCUUUUGUUUGAAAUAACCUUUUUCAUUUGAUAUCCACUUUUUUUUUUCUUCUGUCAAGUCUCAACCCAAACUUUCAUUUCUUUCUCACAUAUUUCAAGAUUCUCUACCUGUAUUAACAUUUCACCAUCAAUUUUCACAGCAAUGUUCAGUGCUUCACGUCUUGAUUUUUGGUUGUUUUUUCUCUUUGUUUUCACGUGCGUAUUUUUACUGGUUCUGGAGCGGUCCCAGUUGACGGUUAUACUACUUUGAUCUGGUUUGAUACCAGUUUAAUGACAUCAUCACCAUUCACCGAUUUGAAUGCAUAACCAGGCCGGGUCCAGUUUUUAAAACAUUGUUCCAUGGUUAAUUACCGUGUCAAUUUUGGGCAAACUGUAUAGUCUAAGAAAGUAUUUUAGCUAUUUGCUUCUAAUAUCUUGUUAUUUUAUCUUGAACUAGGUUUCUAAAUUGCGGACAAAUUUUAUUAGUUAUGGGAUUUUUUUCAUCCCUACCAUGUCUUAAUCAUUUAAUUUAAUUAUUUCUGCAGCAAAACAAACCAGAGUGAGCUCUAACUAUGGCUCCUGUUGCUCCUCGAUCUGGUGAUGCAAUAUUUGCUAACAUCGAACACGUUGUAAGCAAAUAAUAUCAAAACCCUCAAAUUUUUUUCUUUACAUAAAAAAUGUCAAUUUUGUUUGAAGUUUAUUGAAUUUUAUUUUGAGUUCAUUGUAUCUGCAUUAGAAUUGCUCUUGGACUGUGCAGAAUGCAGAACUGUUUACUCUGACAUAUGGGGCAAUUGUGCGUCAAUUGCUUACAGAUCUGGAAGAGGUUGAUGAAGUUAACAAGCAGCUAGAUCAAAUGUACAUUUAUGAACUCUGUAGCACCGACACUUCUGAUCAAGGCAUGGUUGGCGUCUGGCACGUGUUAAUGUCCGGCAUCGACACCGACACAUGUGAUUACAUUAAAUUAUGUCAUUUUUUUCAAAUUAUUAUCGGUGUCAACGUGCUAGUGUCGUGUCCGUGUCUGUAUCUGUCUGAAACUCUUUCUAAAUUCAAUAUGUUUUGUUAUUUGUAUCUUCUGAUGCUGUAAAAAUUGUUUUUAUUUUCAUAUCUAAAUAGUUGUGGGAUGUUUAGUUCCAUGUUAUGGUGUGUAAUUGUAUUUGGGUUACUUACUUUCACCAAUAUGAAUUUUGCUGUUUGGUUGGUAUUUUCAGGGGUUAUAACAUUGGAAUCCGUUUGAUUGAUGAGUUUUUGGCUAAAUCUAACGUCUCAAGUUGUGUUGAUUUCAGAGAGACGGCUGAGGUGAUUGCAAAGGUAUUGUUUUGUUGUUUGGUUUCUUUAGAUGCUCGGGAAAAAAUUCUGAAAAUUUAUCCUCAUUGUGAUAAAGGCCGUGUAGAAAUGGCACUUCCGCUUGUUCGUUUAGUCUUUGAUAGUGUCCAGUGUCCCCUUAAUUUGCUUGAUUAGUAAAUAGUGAAAUUAAGAUCCCGUGUUAUUUAAUAAAUAGUAAAAUUUUAUCAGAUAGUAUUCGAGUGCACGGAAGUAUGAUUGGUUCUUUGCUUAAGGUACACUUGAAAUAUAUAAAUAAAUAUCCGAAAGUGUGUUUUAACUUUGAGCUUUUUAAGAACAUUGAAAAAGAGAUCCUGUGUGUCACAAUAAUAUAACUUCUGUUAUGUGGAAGUAAACUAGAACUAAGAUUGUGUUGAUGUGAACAAAAGCUCAGUUAGUUGGUUAGGUUAUGAUGUGUAUAAAUAAGAGGAAUGAACCAGAAAGAAGCUUCUUGUCAAUUUAGAGUUAAGGGCCUCUGGGAGUUGGGAGGCACAGACCAUCGAAGUUUGGGGACCUAUACUGUGAUAAGGAAAAAUCUUCCCGAGUCUUUUGAUAAAGAUAUCACUUCUUAUCAAAAUGACUGAUAGGUUACGGCCUUAGAUAGUUGGGUUACACUGUGAUGUAUGCAUAAAUAAGAGAAAGGUAUAAAAGUGAAGCAUUUUGUCAAAUGGCCAUGUUUCAUAAGCUUUUUUUCAUUUUUCUCUUAUUAAAAAGAUAGUUCUUUUAUUAUUUCAUUUUCUCCCAUUCUUUAGUUAUAUAAUAUAUUUCUUUUUCAUGUAUUAACGUUCACAUAAGCCCAAUUUAUAUGAACAGGUAUGCUUAUAAAUUAUAGGUUUAUUAUUUUAUUGAAAUGAAUGUGAUUGUGUGUGUGUGUGUGGGAGGGAGGGAGGGAGGGAUAAGUUUUUAGAUGGUUUGCAUUCAAAUCAGCAAAAUGUAUUCUGCUUGGAGGGUAUUCAACUUACUUUAGAACACAAAUGAAAUACGGCCUGGCUUAGAGAUUGUUGUUGUUACUUGUAUAUGAAGAUAGAAUUGCAAGCACUAAAUUUAUUCUGGUUUGAGCCCAACAUAAUGGUCAGUACAUAUAAAACACUAUCAUUAUAAUGAUAUUUGCUUUCAAUAAGAAUGUUGUUCCGCUUUUUACUCCUUUCUAAUCAAACCACUUAUAAGUUAUAAGUCUAAAGUUUAUCUUCACUCUUCACCAACUAUUUUUCAAUAUUAUCUCAUCUUAUCUCAGUUAUUGGAUGACCCUAAAUUCAUAUCUGGAUUUUGCGACAUAUUCAAUUAAAUUUCCUUGCACGUUGUAGGUGGUUAUAGUUGGUUUGUGCUACUUGUGUUUAACUUCAGUAUCUAAAAGUUCAUUUUGAUUGGUAUGACUUUUACAAUAGUGGGCUAUGUGAUGCUACUUGGGUGUGCGAUCAGCAUUUAUUUAUUUAUAUUAAUUUAAUUAUAUAUUAUUAGUAAAGCAUAUUUAAAGGAGAAGAUGACCCUUAACUCUGGUUUUAUACAGGUUGGUUUGAAAAUGUUCAUUGGUGUUACUGCAUCUGUGACCAAUUGGAAUGCCGAAGGGACAUGUUGUAGUAUUGUUUUGGAGGAUAAUCCUUUGGUAGAUUUUGUUGAGCUUCCUGACACUUAUCAAGGUCUCCACUACUGCAACAUAUUAAGUGGAGUCAUUAGAGGAGCCUUAGAUAUGGUAAGUUUCUAUUUCUAUUUCUUACCUCAUUUCACAUAUCACUUAUACUUUAUAAAACUUCCACUCAUCAGCUUUUUAAUAAGUUCUUCUUGCUUUCAACACUUAUCAAACUAAGAAAAUAUAUUAGUAGUUUGGUUGCUGGUCAAGUAUUUUUCUCAAAUAUGAAAGAUUAUUCAUGAUUUUGUAUGCUUUAUCUAUGUAAGGAAAGGGACAGAGUUUCAAGAUUUUGCUUUCUUAGUUUGAUAUUGCUCCUCUUAACAAACCAUUCAGUAUUUUCUGAAAGCAAGUUUCUUUAGCUCCCCUUUCAUAGCAAUGAAUGAAGUCAUUUUUAACUUCCAUAAUUUAAUGGGGAAAACAACUCACAAUUAUUUUUCUUGGAGGAAAAUGAGGCAUGACAUACAAGCCUUUGCAGCACAUGCUUCUUCACUCUUGUCUUGAUUCUUGUACAUUCACACUACUCAGGUGUCGAUGAAGGCUGAGGUCACUUGGCUACGUGACGCGCUUCGAGGUGAUGAUGUGUUUGAAUUGCAAGUAAAACUUCUCAAGCAAGUUCCAGAAGAGUAUCCAUAUAAGGAUGAUGAGUAAUUGUAACGUUGCACUUGAUCAUUUCCUAAGUAUUAGUUUAUCAUCUUAAUGCCGAUGUGUGCAUUUUGAUGAACCUAUAGAAAACAUUAAAUUAAGUUAUUAUAAUAUUUGCUUCGACAACGGACUAGGAUCUAUGCAAGCCCUCGAGAUUCUUGAAACUGAUCUUGUUCUGUCAUUCUUUGCUGUUUGUAUGGGUUCAUUUUAGUUGCAAUUCAAAACUUGGUUCUUGGUGCUUCAAAUAAAGCUUUAUUGUUCAAUAUCACAUUCACCAUACAUUUUUAUAAUGAAAUGUUAUACACAACAACUAGAGCAAUACUGUUUGUGCAUUGACCCUAUAGGAGGGUGGGAAAUUUGUCCAAGAUUUCUAAAAGAGCAAAUAAGAGGCAUUCACAAAUUUUCUAGGACAAUGAAAUCUUGUAUAAGACAACUGGCAUUCACAUUGGCCUAGAGAAACAUGAUGAUCUUAAAAUGGGGUACUCACCUAAUCAAUAGCUCUUGAACUUCCUUCUGCGAUGAUUUUUCAAGUAAUUUAGAUGUGUGAAAAUACUUGGUCAUCUCAUUCGAAAAAUACUUCCUUUUCUGAACUUAAUAAAGUCACACAUAAUUCCAAAGGAAUUGGGAGUGUAGAAUGAUGAGUUGUCCGAAAGUAGUUAAUUUUAUUACAUAUGAUUUUGACAUUUUCACACAUAUUAAGAAAUAUAACUAGUAAUUUUGUAUUAGAAAGAGAAAUUAUGAGUGAUUUUAUAAAAUUACCUCUAAUUAAUGAUAUGAGAAAAAAAUAUUAAAAAAAGAAGAUAAAGUAAUAAAUAGUGAAUGGUAUGAUAAAAAAAAUAUAUUAAUGUACCUAUAAACAGAGAGAGACGCAUAAUGUUCUUUUCUUGGCUUAAAAAAAAAUAUUCUUUUCUUCAUUCUUUCAAAAAAAUAAUAUUAUUUUCUUCAUGCACGACUUCAUAAAAUAUUCUUUUCUUCAUUCUUUCAAAAAAAUAAUAUUAUUUUCUUCAUGCACGAGAAAAAUAGGAGGAUAAUGCAAAGAAGUAUGAAAGGAAUCUUUUGUCAAGAAAAGUAUGAAAGGAAUCUAGGUUAAAGGGUACAAAAAACCUAAGAUAUUUGUUUUUCAUUAAGUUUUUUAAUUAAUUUAAUUUUCUAUAAAAAUAAAAUUUUACCAUUUUUUUGUUAAAGUAAAAUUAAAAACAGUUCUAUAAAAAGAAAUUUUUACCAUUUAUUUUGUUAAAGUCUUACGGCUCAUGGAGCGAUUUAUUUUUGUUUUCAAUGUACCUAUAAGAUAAUUAAGUUUCUAGAUAAUAUAUGUAGAUAAUAUAUGUAAUUAAGUCUUAGCUCAACUGGCAAAAUGUCAAAAUUGUUAGACCGGAUGUCAUGAUCGGGGUUCGAACCCCAGUACCUUCACUUAUGUGUGUGAGUUUAUAAUGACUUUACCAUUUCAUCUAUAUAAAAAAAAAUGUAAAACGUAUAGGAGAUUAAAUUGCAACCUGAUAGGGCAUAAUUCAAAUCUUAUAAAAUUGGCUAAAGUGCACUUUUCCCCCUCUAACUUUCAAAAACUUGCAAUUUUGGCCCCCUAAGUAUCAAAACAACAAUUUUGGCCCCCUAAGAUUUAGCCCCUUUGCAUCUUUGGUCCUUUUGGUCAAUUUUGACUUAUUCAACGCCUACGUGGCAGGCCACGUGUGUAAUUAAUUAAUUAAAAAAUUUAAAAAAACCAAAAAAUCAAUUUUUAAAUUAAAUAAAUGAAAAAAAGAAUUAAAAAAUCAGAAAAAAUAAAUAAAAAUUAAACCCAAAACACUUCUUCAUGUUAUCUUCAUCUCUUCCAAUCCAACCCCAAUAAUAAGAAACAUUGUUGUCAGAAUCAUCAGAAAUAUCACUAUCACUACCAUAAAUUAAAUAAUCCAGAAAAAUUAAUCUUCAUCAUCUUGUUCAUAUCUUGAUAAUUUUGUUCAUCAUCCUCAUUGAAAUCCUAGAAGAAAAUUUUUGCUUCAUAAACAACAAUCACCCUCUGCAUUCUAUUCCCCAUAAUAUAUUAUUCAAAUCCAAAAUAUCAACAAUUACAACAAAUUCAAUGCAGCAAUUACACAAUUGCCAAACAUCUCUUCAUACUGUUUUUGGAAAAAUUCAUGGGAGCAAUUACGAAUAUGCGACAGAACUCCACAACAAACACAACCUAAAUUAAAUUGGAGAACAAUCACAACAAACACACUCUUCCAUAUCUUUUUUAGAUCUAGUUCUUCAUCAUGGCAAGCUGCUACAACUAAUAAACAAACCCCUGCCUACUGUUAAAAACGCAGCAGCAUAAAGGGCAUGUGCAGAAAAAAUAAGCGCAACAUACAGAGGGACAUACAAAGCCAAAACACCAAAAAUAAACAAAUCAAAAUACAUGUCCACCCUAAAUGCCGAACUGCAACAACGAAACCUGCACCAAUAGCUGAAAGGUCCAAAAAUACCAAACCCCAUAGCAGAUCCAAACAAAACAGCGUCGUUCAUCGUCCUCGUCGUCUUCGUCGGUGUCAUUUUCGGGUUCGUUGUUGGGAUCGGCGUCAGAAGAGCAAUUGACGGUGGAGGGAAGUUCGGAAUCGGUGUGGUUGGAUUCUUCUUGGUCUACGAUGGUUGUAGUUGUUAGCUUGGGGGUUUUGUUGGGAAGGUGAUGGGUUCAAGAGGAAGAAGAAGAAGAAGAAGCCAUUGGAAUGGAAGGUGGUGCUGGUGGCUGGGGUUAGUAAAGAGAAAGAAGGGAGAUUGAACCAAGGUUACACAUAGAUUGGAAGAAGCCAUCAGAAGUGAAAAUAAUGGAUUUUUUAUUUUUUCUGAUUUUUUUUAUUUAUUUAAUUUAAAAAUUGAUUUUUUGGUUAUUUAAAAUUUUUAAUUAAUUAAUUACACACGUGGCCUGCCACGUAGGCGUUGAAUAAGUCAAAAUUGACGAAAAGGACCAAAGAUGCAAAGGGGCUAAAUCUUAGGGGACCAAAAUUGUGGUUUCUAUACUUAGGGGGCCAAAAUUGCAAGUUUUUGAAAGUUAAGGGGGGAAAAGUGCACUUUAGCCUAUAAAAUAAUCAUGAAUGUCAUUUUAAUGAAUAAUAGUCUCCUUUCUGUAACUUCUUUUAUUUUUAGUCAAAAAUUAUCUUUCAAAUUCCUAAUCCAAUAUACCCUCCUUAGUCUCCUACUCAACAUUUUUGAUUAAAAAUUCAUGGGUAAAGACAAACUUUACAAAUUACUAGUAUUCUUCUAAAUGAUUAGAAAGAAAGUUUUCCGGUUGCUCCUUGAGGAUAUGAGCUGAACUUUACCAACUAAACAAACAUGUGUUGGCUAUGUAAAAGUUAUUUAUUUAGUCUAUUUGAAUGAAUUUAUAUAUGAUAUGAAGAAAAUAUUACGGUUCUUAUACAAUGAACAAGAACAAUUUGCACGUCCUUCCCAAAAAAAACUGCGUGAUAUAACUUCUAUAAAAUGUAAAUAUCUGAAUAGAAGGAAAACUUACAUUAUGGAAAUAGCUAUGUUUGCAGUAACUUAAUUUACCCCAUGAAAUGUUAACUGCAUCCUAUGUGACACGGAUUAGAAGAAUAACCAUGACAAAUACACACAUCAUUACAAACAUCACAAGCCAAGUUAAGCAAGAAGUCUUGGAACUCUCGGAGUAUAUUGUGUUUGCUCGCACAUUGACACGACCUGUGCUUGCCAAGCUAUGCUCAAUGGCCUCCUCAGUAGAAUCAAGUAUCUGCAAGCAAGCCAUCAUUCAUUAGGUUAGUUAACACCUCACGAGAUAUUUCAUAUGAUAUUAUUUUAUAAGAAACAUAUUUUACUCAUUGUAAUGACCACCAACGCAAGGUACUAACAUCAUCCACAAUCCCUCAUACCAAAAUGAUAUACAUUUUGCACAAUCAACUCAAACAAAAAUGAGAAUCAGACCUUUUCAGUAUUUUUCACAGACUGGCUCAUCAUGAGACUACUCUCUUUGAGUUGUUUUGCCAACACCACCAUCUCAUCUGUCAAAUCAUCUUGAAGCUUUCUGAGGAGUAUAAGUGUCAACAAAGAAGUGAAAAAAUUGAGAGAACAAUGAAAAAACAAUUCAUAUGGUUAAAAGCAAAGCAUUGAGAGAGCAAACACAAAUGACAAUAACAAUUAGCUAUAUAAUACAUUUUUUGCAUAUAAUUCAAUAGCAACUACGAGAGUAUUGGUAUCAAAAUAUAAUGAUUAUGGACACUUCAUUGCAGUAGUACUGACUCAUCAUAACACAAACUUCAAGUGUACCUGUGCUUUUCAAUAUGUGCAUGUCCUGCAGCAUCCAGUUUAACAGAUGAUAAGUGAUCAGUCUCAGCAGGCUCAUAUGCUCUAUCUUCAGUACUUGAGGCAGCUCUGUCCAAUGAAUCAGAUAAGUAACAGUAAAACAGCCUACAAAAUACAAGCAGCAGUGAAAAAGGUUAACAUUAACUUACACAGGCCUUCUUCGCAGCCCAGAAGAAGGCGACAUCGGCAUUAUAUCCUCAAUUUCAGAAGGGUUUUCUUUAACAUUUCUUUCAGUGUCCUCAGAUACUUCUAUGUCAGACUGAAAAUUUAAAUGGUUAUAUGACAAUCACUAAGUGUGCCCAUUUAGCCAAAACUAAAAUGGAAUAUAUAAAAAGGAAACAAUGGAGGAAAUUUCAUUGCCUUAUGAUGCAUUCCAAUCAAAUACCAAUAAUUCAAGCCAUUAAAUAUUUUAUAUACACUCUUCAAAUACUAUAAUGCAAUUUGAUGUUCUCCAUCAUAUAACAAAUCAUUAAGGUUUGAUUGGUUGAGUAGGAGUGCAAAAAAUGAUGGAGUUAAAACGAAUUUGAGCCAAUCAUUACAAACACACGAGCAAUAGAGCUGAGAAAUAGAGUAAGAAAAGGAAGCUUCAAAGGUUUAGAGAAUCCUCACAGAAAAGAGAGAGAGAGAGAGAGAGAAAUCUCCUAGGGGCUUCCUCUUCAACAAUGGGUUUCCCAAUCUACAACUAAGCUUAAUGGUCAGUUCUGCAAUACCAAUAAUUCAGAAUCCUGUUCUAUCGCCCUUUCCUCCAAAUUCAUGCUACUACCAUUUUAAACCAUAACCACCAAAUAGUUUCAACUGUGCUAAUCCAUAUAACUAAUCUAAUGGUUUUGCCUCAAAUUUGUUGGUUUUCUUUUGUACUUCUCUCCUGUGACCUAUCAAAAUGAGCAUAUUUAUAUUUGCCAUUCUUUAAUGUUUGUCAUACCAAACAGGUUUGAAGUUUUAUCAUUAAAUUUCCACCUUACCACUAACACCUGCUUAACCAAGCAGACCUCAGAGGCUCAGACUUAAGUUUAUGCAAUCUGCGCACCUUUCAGUUAGUACAAAGUUUUUAUUUUAGAAAGUAUGUAUUUGAAAUUCAUAUAUUGCAAAGGGUUUUUAUUUUAGAAAGUUUGUAUUUGAAAUUCAUAUAUUGCAAAUAUAUAAACAAAUACUAACUUACAACGACUUUUUUUGGCUGAAAAGGACAUGGCUGGCUAUAGAAUUUUUUUGUUAAAAUACAUACACGACUUGGAGCAAGCUAUGAUAGGGGAUACAACAAUCAUGUUGUGAAAUAAAUACUAGUUAAGAUAUUUAUUGAUGAAAAUGGGGCUUAUUUAUUUACAAUCCUAUUAAAGAAAUUGUUUGCCAUCCUACCUCGUGCCCCCCCCCCCCCCCCCCCGUUCUUUGCCCAACGCAUUGAUACAAUCCUAAUCUUAUACCAUGUCGUAACUGUGUUAAUCUGUUCUUACUUUUAACAAACAGGUAUAAACAAAUAAAAUUAACCAUUUUGUGAUAUCCAGUUAAUUUCAAAUACUCAAAUUCCAUCCUUUUUGUUAAUGAAAUUUCCCAUUAUAUUGAUGCAAAAAGGAACCUCAAAUGUUUAGUCAGUUGCUCUAAUGAUCCCUUUGUAUUUCAAUAUCUCUAAAGAUACAAUAGCGAACAAAUACAUACCACAUGAACCAAUUUUGAAGCAAUGCCUUCAAUCUUCUCUGAAUAAUCGUUCAACAUAGCCUUUGAGAUCCUGCAUGACCAAUCAAUCAUACACAAACAUUAAUGAAUGCAGAUACUCAGUCGAUAAACAUAUAGCAGGAAUAUAACAUCUUCAGAUCAAGGGUUACCAAUGAUCUAAGAGAGAAGAAGAAAUAAACAGAAUGUAAUCAUUACGCGUGCAAGAUCUUCUCAAAUAAUUAAAAACAAGGAACAGUACAACUUAUGUUCACUGAGAGACAUAGGAUUUUGGGUGAGUUUGUUUCAGCUAUAAAAAAAAUAAAAAUAGGUUUUGUGUUAAAAGAAUCUAGAGAUUUUUUUUAGAGAUUUUUAAAAAUUUCUGAAGUUAUUUUUGUUUGUCUACUACCAAUGAAAAUCCUUUUUUUUUUAAAUGAGUUUUAACUUAUACAUGUGUUACCUUCUUGUUGUUGAAAAAAAAUAGAUUUUGAGAAAAGCUAAUCCUAAUAGCUUUUCAUUUUAGGGUCAAAAUAGAUUUUUUUGAUAAAAUGAUUUUUCUAAAAAUCCUAAACAAACACUUAAAAAAUGAAAAAAGUGGUUUUUUUAAGAAAAAUAGAUUUUUUUUGUAAAAAAUCUGAAACAAACGGGCCAUUUAUGUUACCUAUUUUGGUCAGCUGAGCUUACACUAAUUUAUCUAAACUUGUUCUUGACUUGGAACUUAUUAUAUAGAAAUUUUGAAUUAGGUUUCUAUAUUACAGCAGUUAUUCAAAAUCCUAUAUUUAAUGAAAUCUUUUCAGUUUCCAUCUAAUCCCUAUAAUUUCACCAGGUAUUAAUUCUCAACAUUUACAUUCUUAAACCCAAACAAUGCUCAUUCAUGAAAAAAAAAAUUAUCCACUUUGAAAGUACCGGAUCUUGAAAUACACAGAGCUUGAUUGGUUGCCAAAGGCUUUACUCAAACCUUAUUAAGUUUUUCCAAAGCCCAGCGGCAAAUCUGGCAGGCCUCAACAACAACUACAUGUGAAGAAUAGAUUUCUAAAUGGAGAUUUGAAGGAAGAAGCUUAAAUGGUACAGUGCUAGCACGCCAGCAAAAACUCUUAUUGACCUUGAUCAAAAGCUUGAGGGGAACAAGAUGCAUGACUCAUUGGCCUGGUAUUUCGUUUGCAGUGAGUUUAGCUAGCCAGAUCAUAGAUUCGCCAAUGAAGAACAUCUUAACACAAUAUAUGUAAUGGAAUUUUAGAAAAUUUGAAAUGUCCCAGCCAAAUAUCAUUUCUUCAACAAAAAAGCGCAGAGCAGACCAUUGAGGUCUACUUAAAUGUCGACUGUACAAGACCUAUCAUGAAUAGGAAGUCUACAUGAGGUUAUUGCGCAGGGUUUUAGUUAAAUGGAAAAGCAUAAAACAAAAUGUGGUAGCUAGGAGCAGUAUGGAUAUGGAACAUAUAGAUACAUCUCAUGGAGUAUGUGAGAUGUUAUGUCCAAAAAGAAUUCUUGACAAAUCAGCGAUGCCUACAAAUAUGUGGAAGUUGGCAGAAAUUUGAUAAAGGAAAAGACAGAUGAUGAAGCUACUUGCAUGCCAUUUAUUCCAACUGUACAACAAGAGGCAAAUAUGAAUAUCCUGACCAAAAGACCAUUCCUAGCUAAUUUUGAAAUUCUCGACGGUGUAGAAGUAUUUUAGGAAUUAUGAUUAGUUCUUUAGGAUUUGAUUGUGUACCUACUUUUUGAAUUUAGAUUUUGAUAAGAAGAUUGUUUCUUCUCCCUUACUUUACUCCUUUAUAUUUUGAAUUUUGAACAGGUUGGUUAUAUCUUUCAAACCAACUCUGGCUAUAAGUCCUUCUUUAUAUGGCUCUCAAUGAUGAAUAAGGGAAUAAGUAAUUUUCUUUUGAAACUUGCAUAAAAUUAAGAGUAAGAAUUGACAGCUUCAAAAAUGGCAGACUAUAUAGAAACACUAAAGCUCUGUAGUCUCCCAUAUAAUUCCUAGAUAUUUAUGUAUACGAGAAUGUAAAUAAAGAGACUUACUACCUUGGCAAGCCUUCUGGAGUCUUCUCUUCAGCCAAUUGUUCCAGUUGUUCACGCAAAGUAGCAACAUACUGCAGAGUCAACAAAUUAGUAAGCUUUUCUUUUCAAGAGUUAAUCAAAUGAUUAAAUCAAUAGAACAUUACUUAAUAAAUUAUAGUCACUAGAGACCACAUAAACCUAAAAUAAGGCAACUUGGUGCUAUAAAGAAACUGCCGUAAUGGGGUCGAAAAUCAAAGGGUCGAGUCUAUUUUGGAUAUAUUGCAGGCGUAUUUGCAAAAAGGUCGAAUUCAUAACUCAAACCUGUGACAUCCUAACCACACAGAGUAAACUUCAACUAUUGUGCCAAGAUUCUGAUUACUCUACAAUAAAUAGUCAGGGUUUAGUUUCAGACUUACAUGUACAAGUUUUGCCUGGUUUUGCUGGUGAGGAGCAGCUGCAAGCAAUCUCUUCAAGUUUACUUCUGUUUUACUAAUUCCCAUUCCUGCAAUGUUUAGCAAUUCCAUAAAUAAUACUCCCUCCGUUACUUUAUAACUGUCGUUUUCAAAGUCCAAUGUAUGGUUUUACCUAUAUUACCCUUAUAUAUUUAUUGCUGAGAGAGAAAUAUAUGGAAUGAAGUAUUAAAUUAUUAAGGUAAAUAUAAGAGAAAGCAAUGUGAUAAAUGUGAUAUGUUCAUGAUGUGAUUCGAAAAGUAAAAGGAUCAAGUCACCCAUUGGAAUAAUUUUCUAGAAUAUUAUACGUAACAUUACAACUUGAUAGUGGAUAAUUAAAGAACAGAGUCGAAUUGCAGGGGAAAUUAAAUCCUUGCCUUAAACAUAAUUGCAAGGUACAUUUUGAGAGUUAUUGCUAACUCAUGAGCAUUGUAAUCGACAUUCUUCCUCUCAUCAUACAUAUCAAGUUGAAGAUAACACAUGUAAGGCUUUAAAUUCAAUGUAAUUGAAGAAAUUGGAAUUGGGCAAAAAUAGGGUUAGGUUCUGAUUUGAGAGGAAGAAAAGAGGGGGAGGAAAUUUUUUUCACUUACCUUGCUUCCAAUGAGAAAUUAAGAAUUUUGGGUGAGAAACAGUGAGAGAGACAAGAGAAAAGAGAGAAACAGCAGAUAGCGUGAUUAUUGUCAAUUUCUUUUAUUUAAAAUUUGUUUGUUUGCAAUUUUAGGACUGUUUUUUUUCCAUCUCCGACCCUUUACUCUGUCUGAUUUGAGUUUACGCAAACCAACUUAUACAAUUCAUGAGAAAGUUAGUGAAAACUUUUAAAUUAACAUAAACGUUUAUUUAUUUACCUGAACUAUGUUACGUAAGCUGAAAAAUAAGAUAAUCCAAAGAUGCCCUAAAACUAUAUUAUCUCUUAUUUUCAUUAAGUCAAAUAAGUUAAUCCAAACGGAUAGUAAAACUACGUUAUCUCUCAACUCUACGGGUACUUUGUGGUUUUGUUUCAAGUGAACUAUAUUACAUUUGGUCCUUAAAUAAUUUAAACGACCUAAUUUGAAUCUGUUGCAAAGUGACUCAAAAAUGAUUUGAGCAUGUUGCAAAUCGUGACACGAUUUGUGGACCGUGAAUAAUGGCGAAGCCAGAAAUUAUAUAGAGCCUGGGCGAAAAAUUUAUCGCAAAUUCAUAUGUGACAUAAUAUAUAUCAAGAUAAAAGAGGAUCGUCGUUUUUACAAAAGUACAGUUUGAAAUAAGAGAGAUGAAAUAUAAUAUGUCAAUAAUGUGCUAAAUAAAAUUAGGAGGUAAAUGCCCUUUCCAAAAUCUCUUUCCGGUGAAUGUUUGAAUAAUAUCAACAUCAUCAAGUGACAUGAAUAUCUUCCGCUCGGUGUAACAUCAUCAAGUGACAAAAUAAAUUAUCCCAACAUUUUUUAACAUCAAGUUUGUAAUAUCUCCCGUUCGGUGUAACUACUUGGUGUAGUUAGAUGCAAGGGAAAAGAAAAGGAGAAUGGUGGUUCAUUGUUAAAGUGGCAUCAUCAUCAUUUUAGAGUCAAGGUGGAGAAAUGUUGCAAAGUGACUCAAAAAUGAUUUGAGCAUGUUACAAAUCAUGACACGAUUUGUGGACCAUGACACAAUUUUCCUAUGUCGUGAGCAUGUUUUUCAGGGUUUCCAAUCGUGACACGAUUUUGGGCAAUCAUGACACGAUUUUUGGCAUGCUUGGCACGUUUACAGGAUAAGGUUGGUCGUACCUUGGGUCGUAUGCAUCAAUCGUGUCACGAUUUGACCAAUUGUGACACAUUUUUGACAACUGAAGACUGAUAUGUAAGUGUUUCUUUGCAGAUUUUGAAGAGAUGAAAACUUGGGAAAUCAAAGGACGUAACUUUAUGGUUGAGGGUCUUUGAUUAGAGUUCUCUUGGGUUGGGAAACAUUGUAAACACGUUGGGUCUUUGUGUGCUUGUUGAAGCUAAUUUCUUGUAACUCAUUUGUAUCUCUUUUAGGAACUCAUUGAUAGUGGAUUGGAGAGAUAAAUCUCUCUCCAUAGUAGGUCAAGUUGGACCGAACUGGGUAAUCAUUUCUUGGUGUAUUUGUUUCUCUUCUCUCCUUAUCUUUUGCUUGUGGUUUUGAACUUUUCACUUUGAUUACUAAAUUAGAUCUAGGUAUUGUUAUUAUUGUUUUUGCUUGUGUUCACUUUGAUAUUGGUUAUUACUUUCCUCUGCUCCACACAUCUUUGUUUUCAUUGGUGUAAGUUUUAAAUCCGAAUUCACAACAGAAUCUUUAAAUAACUUAAAGAAUCUGUAAGUGUACUUAAAAACUAAUCCGAAAAACCAACUUGUUAUAAUUAAAUAACCUCUUGUCCAAUUUAGCCUAUUAAUAACAUAGCUAAUCUCAUCUGAAUCUAAGAAAGCGCAGGUAUUGCAUCAGAAUAACAUGUUGGCUUCAUAAGUCUUAAAUAUUAAUUUAUCAUAAUCGUACAGGUAACAAAUAAAUCCUGUUAAAAACAAAAACAAAUAUACUUUUGAAAGUUAAAGAGUAGUAGUGCCCACUGGCCAGAUAGCUCAUUUCAUAACAAUACACAGUUUGAACCUGAUCAAACUUUUAGAUCCAGAAAACAUUACCUGAGGCACAAAAAAUCCCAAUAAUAUUGUAUUAUUACCUAAGUAAGAAGAAAUUAACUUGUCCAUCCUAUUACACAGGAGUGUACAAAUAGUACUACCGCUAACACUAGACAAAACAUUAACACAUACACCCAAAAAAAAAAGUUAUUAAAUAUAAGCACCCACUUUGAAGUGUUGGUUCAACAUAGAAUGUAUCAUAUGAUUUCAAUAAUACAUGAAGUUCAUGAACAUCCACUUUUGGUACACCACAUUAUAAUUAUGUUUAAUUCAUUGACAUUCAACUACUCAACUGAAUUAACCACAUUGUUGCAUAUUAAACAAGUGUAGAUACAAAUAUAAUUCAUCACUUAAACCAAAAAAAUAAAACAUCCAAUAAAGUCUAAAAAUUAGAAUAAUAUAGAGUAAACAAACAUUACAAGGAUCAGAAUAAAGAUUGUAAUCAACGCAGGAAGAAGAGUGAUAAUAGUAGACAGACAAGUAAUUGAAGUGAUUAAAAAUGUUGGGAGAAGUCUAGAUUAUCAUUCCAUACUAGAAUGCAACCCACGCCUUUUAUUACAACCCAUUUUGAUUUAGAAGAUGUUGCGAAUGUCACAAUGCAUAACUAAGCAAAAGACGGGCCAUCUUCAUUGUAUUUUUUUUUACCUUAAAAACUUCAAAUCACUGUCAUGUCACUACUACACAAAUCUAUAUUCUUCCUACUCAAACCUUUUACUAGGCCUGGACAACGGGCGGUUCGGUGCGGUUUUCGGUCUCAAAAUUCGGAACCGUUCAAACCGACGGUGUGAAUAUUACAGUCCGUUUCCGUCCGUUUGAGACCACGGUUUCGACAGUCGGCGGUUCAACGGUUUUAGCAGGUGGUCGGCCGGACUCCGCCGGUUUUGGAUUAAACAAAAUCGUACAAAAAUUACAAAAAAAAAAAAAAAAAAAAAAACGGAAUAACAGUGUUGGUGGGUGUUCACAACUUGUUACAUGUGAAAAAUGAAAAGGAUUGUGUUGUAUGAAUUGAUAAUAAAGGAAGAAGUAGAAGAAGAAAGAGUUGAGAUUUGUGGAGCUUAUUGAGGAAAAGCUCUCGAUCUGAAGGAAUUGUGGUGGACUACUAGUUCCAGCAGGAGAUGUGAUAUGUGUAUUCUGAUGUGCAAUGACUAUGGUCAUAAAAUAGUGAUUUGAAAAUAUAAAAUAUUAAAAAUAGAUAUAAAUUAAUGCCUUGAAAUUGAAUAGUUUUUGAGAGUUCCAAGACAAUUGAGAGAGAGACAACACGUCUUCCCUAUGCAAGCCAGCUUUCACAUUGUAAAAGUGUUCAUUUUUAUCAUUCUUGGCAUAAAAUCGAUCGGUUGUUGGGUACCGAUGGAUUGAUUUUUGCAAUCCGAAUCCGACCGUUCAUAACUGUAUAAAACCGAAAAAGCAUGAAUCACCAACCCGCGGUUCAUAUACACCCGACCCGAAUGUUCACGAUUUCACCGGUUUGGCCGGUUUUCGGUCGGGUACGGAUAUUCUGUCCAGCCCUAGUAUGUGUGUAUCAUGGUGAACUCAUCCAAGUUGUACUUCAUUGUGAAUAUGUAGUAGUACAAGAGAAAAAGAGAGAAGUGAGGUGGUGUGGUGUUUUUUGUUUCUGAAAAAAGGUGGGGCUGUGUCUUGAAAGUUGAAGAAAGAUAAGGUAGCCACUAGGUUGGUGGAAUAGACACGUGAAAGGUUAAAAUAUGUCUAAAAAAAUUAAAUAUUAUCUCACUUUGUGGGUCUCAAGGCAAAAAUAUCAGUACUAGUACACAGGUAAUUACAGUAUCUUUUUAGAGUACCACGGUAGGCUUUCAUAUGAACGGACGGGUUCAGUCACCGUUGGACCUAAAUUUGAAAACAGAGCCCGCCCAUAUGAACUCACUGUUAACCGAUUUUUUGUUCCUUUUCAACCCAUCACCCAUUCCGACCCGCCCGUAGCGGUUGCGGUUUUCCCGAUUUUUUCGGUUUAUGGGCGGUUCCGGUUAUUUUGUCCAGCCCUAGGUUGUUGUGUUUGUUUGUUUAUUGCAGAGGUUUUUAUAAGUUGAAGAAUUUGAAGAGACGAGUUUUGUUGAGUUGAAUUGAGUUGGGUUUUUCAGUAAGUGGAUUGGGGGUUUUUUUUUUUGUUGAUGCAAUGGAAUGAGUUUAUGAUGAUGACUACAAACUUGACUACAAUAGGUGAUACCGCCCAAAAGUGGGUCCUACUAUUGUUAUGGUUUAUGUCGACUGGGCCAAUGAAAAGUUGCCAUGUCAUGUGGGUGAAAAUUAAAAUGUUUAGCUUUCAUGGUGUUCUUGAGAAGAAAAAAAUUUGGAAAAAAUUUCUUGAGUUGAUUCUCAAACUUUGAAGUUUGAAACACUUUCUUCACCAAGACGAGUACGAGGUUAUGAGUAAAACACUUUACUUUUUUUUUUGUGUAAAGUUGUUAAGUAAAUAAAGAUUGUCUAAAACUUGUUUCCUUAACGAUUAAAUUAGUUUUUUUUUUUAAUAAUUUAUCUUGUAAUGGAACAUGACUAUUUAUUUGAGUCACUAUUAUAAGUAAAAAUAAUUAAUUUUGCAUUGAUUAAUAAAAUUAGUUAAGGAUUUAAACUUAGGUCAUCUAAUCUAACUCCUAUAUUUUGAGUUAAAAUCCUAUAUUUUCAUGACUUUAUCUCGUAAGUCUAACAUUUAUUUAAAAAUUAUUCAUAAAUUUUAUCUGAAAUCUCCCAUAUAAUAUUAGAGUCUCUGAGUAAUUUGUCAAAUUAGGUUUGCGAAGUCCAUCAUACCUAAAUAUGAAUAAGAAGAAAUUUUGUUCUUAAAAACAAUAUUCCUGUUAUAGAACAUACUUCCAACAAAAAAAAAUACUAGUAAUGUGGUAGUAGUAAUUAUACAACAUAAAUUAUUUAUGUACUUACUACAAGGAUUUGGUUAUCUUUUUCCAUGUUCCGUCCAACUAAACGCGUUUUAAAUGUACACUUUAUGUAAGAAGAUUAUUUGAUUAUAAACAAGAAACUUAAUUUGCUAUCAGCCUCCAUGUGAUUCGCAUGUUCUAUUUUUUGACUGGGUAAUUGGUACAUAGAAAUAUGCAUAAUUCAUAAUUGCAUGUACAAGUAUAAGUAACAUAAUAGACGACUCAUGAGUCAUGACUCAUUGAUCAAAUUGCCGGCCAAAAAAGAAUUUCAUUCCAUAUUGAAAUUGGAAGUUGAAACUUGAAACAGUCCACCCAAUUUUCCAAGUUCACACAUUGUCACUCACCACGUCACAACCUAAAUAAUAUGGAUAUAUCAUGCAUUUAACUUUACAAUAAAGAAUGUAUAAGGCAUAUAAUAAGGAUAUUCUCAAGUUGUGUUGUGACUUUUUGAUUUGGAGCACUAGCAACACUAGUCAAUCACAUGUGGCUGUAAAAAGGAACAAUAUAGUGCUACUUCAGUUACCGGCCAAUUUAACAUUGGUAGUCAUCAAAAUAUUUUUUAAAAAAUUCAUUAUAAAUAUAACAUUAAUUUAUUAAAAUUUUAAAUAAAUAAUACUGAUAUCUUUUUAAAUAUAUUUAUUCUUUUUUUUUUAAGAAAUCAAAAUGGGAUAUAAUACUCAACUGGCUAUCCUUCUAGCACAAGGUGUGCCAAGAAGGAUAACAAAUAUUUACAACAAAGUAUCAACGAGAAUGAGCAAUGAUUAGCCUAUACCCAACCCAAACACAAAAACGAGUUUUUGCACCAAUCAUGAAACUUAUAAUUAAAACUAGCAAAUUUUGCUUUAUGCAAUAAAAAGAGAGAAGCUUAAUGUUCUCCAACAGUUGGGGAAAGGAAGUAAAUACAUUUUUUCUUAACACAACAUUGGACUCAAAUGAUUAAUGUGUUUUAUUUAAAUUUACGGAUUUGACCGAUAACAGAGUUUGAUAUCAUAGGAUAAAAUAAUUUGUGGUAUAUGCUAGGGUGAAAACAAACAAAAAAUUAUAUAUUUGUCAAUGUUACUAGCAUCGGGAUAUUGUUACUAGUAUUCAUGUAGACACAUGUUCGUCCAAUUGAUCUUUUUUAUUACAUUAAUGUUUAUAAAUUACGAACAAUAGUGUUAAUUUUUUACUCAAAAUUUAAUGUUUGUGUUUCUGCCAAAUUAUGACACAAUUUAAAAUAAUCGUGAUGUGAUUGGUGAAGUUAUUAUUUGGAGGUUUCAAUUCUUCAAAAAUCAUGGUGGGACUUUGGAAAAUGUGGCGUGAUUUGACUUGCAGCUGGCAAAAGUACAAUUGGAAAAUAAUGUCAUGAUUUGGGAAAUCGUUGCGCAGUUUGUCUGGAUGUGAAUACUAUAAAAGAAGUCUUUGACCCCAUUUGUUGAUGGAUCUUGAGAAUCUCAUGAAACCAAAGGAAGGAACUUUAAGAUAAUUUAGAGGUUAAGAUUUGAGGGUCUUUAGGUGAGAUUCAAAUGAUCAAUAUGUGAAUCUUAGAGAACCAAAAGAGGGGGCUCUUGGGAAAGGGUUCGUGUCAUUUUUGGGAGAGAUUCAUUGCUUAGGAAAGUUGAAAAACACAUGAGAGAAGAGUCUUGUGAACAACUUAGGUGAAUCUUAGGGUACCAAAAGAGGAGAUCCUUAGGAAAUCAAAGGCUAAGGGUUUGUUUCUUUUUGGGUUGGAUUCUAGAGUUGGGAAACACCUUAGGCAGUGAACUCAUUGGGUCUCUUGAUCACUAUAAAAGACUCGGAAAAAUAGUAGAAAUUAGGCGUGCUCUUGAAGAACUUAUGUGCAUGAAUUUUAUCUAAUUGUUUGUAUAAGAACAAAACUAUAAUACUCUACCCAAAUAUUGUCCAUUCAUACGUUAUGAUAAUAAAUACAUCUUGACACCUUAAGGGUAACCAUAUUUUGUAUACUUACUUCACAUUGGGAAGGUUACAGGUGAAUCAACAUAGACAUUUAAAAGAAAGGAGUCUGAAAGAACAUUAGGAAGAAUUCGGGUUCGAUCCCCACUGCUAAAAAAAUUCUCCUCCCCUAACAUUUCUAGUAGGCUAUUUCCUUUUACAUCAGGUUUGCAGUAAAAGAAAGAUAUAGAUUUAUAAAUGUGCAAAUAUUCAAAUCCUACAUAAAAAGAGAAAUGUUGUUAUUAACUAUUCAGAUCACCCAGUCUACUACAAACCAUGUCUAAUCUUUGGUGACUGCAAGUAUUGGUAACAUUAAUCAUAAAUAAGAAACAAAUCAGGCCGAAUGAGAUCCUGUGUGACCAUUACAACAUGCUAACAGUACCAACUCCUUAAAUUACUCCAAGAGAAGACAAAAAAACGUAAGAACUGGAGCAUCAACGGAAAUUUAGACCCCCACCUGAGUACUCCACCUCCUGCAGAUACAAAAAAGUAAGGUCAUGAACUAAGACUUAAAAGAAAAGAAACCAAGGGUGUUGCAGCUCAUGGAAAUCACAAAAGGCUGAAGUAGGAGAGAUGCCAACAAGUUAUAGAUUUUUUUUCAGUGGACAAAACCAGUUAUAGAUUUAUUUUCAAAAUGAAGCAUUAUUUCUGAAAUUAAAGUGGUCAAAAGUUUAUGCAGCAAACACAUAAACACAGCAUGCAUUUACGUUUUUGACUAAAAUCUACCAAUUCUUCACUAUGGCAUAUGUUCUUUUAUUUAUACACNNN